RNAcentral lists this long non-coding RNA (60276 nucleotides) under Gossypium barbadense (sea-island cotton). RNAcentral describes it as "long non-coding RNA (GBAR_LNC022952)". Lineage: Eukaryota; Viridiplantae; Streptophyta; Magnoliopsida; Malvales; Malvaceae. The record is from RNAcentral.
GAGAUCUCCACUGGAAUUUGGCCAUGGAAACAUGAGCUUGAAAGGUUGAGAUGAGUUAGAUUUUGGAGUUUAUCAAACCCAUAGGAAAACAGAGUGGUAUUAAAGUUGUUUCCAGCAAGAUUCAGGUGUUGAAGAUGAUGGAGAUCGAAUAUGGAGUGGAAGCUGCCUGAAAGGUUUUUGUAACUAAGAUCAAUGCCAACGACAUGACCAUAAGCAUCACAAGUGACUCCUUCCCAAGAACAACAAUCAGUGUUGACAUCCCAGAGGUCAAAAUUGGAAGAGAAAGUAAAAUUAGGGGCACAGUAAAGAUGACGCUGCAAUUGCAGCAGAGGAGCUCUCUGGUCAUCAAGGCAUUGCUGAGGGAGAUGAGUUUGAGGAGGUGAAAAAGACAAGACAAGAGAAAGGAAGCAUGAGAAGAGGAAGGGUGAAAUAAGGAAAUGAAGAGUGUUCAUGUUGGUUGGGUGUGAAGAAGGAUUGUGCUUGGCAUACAACUUAUUUAUACACAAAUGUGUAGUUUUCAUGUUUGGCAUAUAACUUAUUUAUUAUUAGUAUUAUUAUUAUUAUCCCAUGCUUGCAAAGGUUGACCAAAAAGACUUAACUAAAGUGGUGGAACAUUAUUUUGAUGCAGUAUUGAUUGGGCAAAAAGACUUCGAAAUUGCAUGCUAUGCCAAACAUGAAAACUACACAUUUGUGUAUAAAUAUUAGACAUAUUAGAGGGAUUGAAACUGAAAUUUAACAUUUUAUUGUAAAUUUUUUUUUUAAAAAAAAGAUAAAGGAAAGGAAAGGAAAUAAAUUAUAGAUUAAAUCUCAAAUUUAGGCAUAUUAAAGAAACUAAAUUUUAAAUUUUUUUGUAAAAUGUAAAAUUAAAAAAGAAAAGGAAAAAUGAUUGGGUAUGCGACAUGUAAAAAGAAAGAAGGUCGAAACCAAUUUUUAUAUAUAAGUAUAUAGAUUAUAUAUAAUUAUUCUUACAUAAUUUAAUUUUUUUAAUAAAAAUUACUAUUAAAAUCUUUUAAUUAAAUUUUGGUAUAACACCCAAAAGAAUUAAUUUAUAUACCAAACUAAUUUAUAAAUGAGUACUUUUAAGUCCUAAUUUAUGAAACAGUACCAAACUUAUAAAUAUGCUAUGACCUAUUGAAGGGUUUAAUUAAAUUUAACACCCCAAAUUAUAAGUUGCAUCAUUCUAAAUUUAUCUCUAAACUUCAAAAACUUUUAACUAAAUAAUAGUAAAAUAUAUUGUUGGUCUUAGUCUUAGUUUUAAUAUUUGGGAUUGCAAGCGAAUUUCUAAGUCUUAGUAUAAGAAUAGAAUGUUAUUAACCUUAGUCAUGAAAAUAAUGUUUCUACCACUUUUCUUAACUGAUUGAGAGACAUUGAUGGGUCAAAGACUAAAUUUUGUUGGUGACUUCUCAAUGAACUUGUCCAAGUGUAUCAAAUCAAUAGAAACACAAUGAAACUAAAUAAUGGUUUGGUUUGAGGAAAAUAUAAGCUAUUCUUAGUCUUUGCUUUCAUUUGCACAAUGUUUGGCACUUUUCUUAUCAUAUUUGAACUUCACUCCAUAUGUUUGCUUUCAAUUUAAAACCAUAUUUAUUAUGUGGAUUAAAUCAUAGUAUUGUUAUUCAAAUUUAAAAUAAAGAAAUUAUUUCUCAAGGUAUCUAGUUGGUAAGUAAAUAUUUGCAUUUUGUUAGCCCAUUUACAGAGUAGAUGCCAUAGUUUUAAAAGUUGCUUCACAAUUAAGCCGAGGAUCGAAUCCUCGACCACGGAUUAAGGUAAGAAAGACUCUUACCAUCUCAUCUAACUCUAGUUAUUAAAAUUAAAAUUAAUUUGAAUACCAUAAAUUCAAAUAUUAAUAUUUACAUCUAUUCCAAAUUCAUUAUACAUAAUAAUUAAAAUAUUCAAAUCUAAAUAUUAUCAAAAUUCGUACUCUGGUGAUUAAAAUAUUUGUAUCCUAUUAGUCAUAUUAAUUAUGAUAUUUUCGUCAUUUUGCUUCAUCUUUAUUCUAUUAUGAUAUUUUCAUACUAUUAAUCAUAUUUGAUGUUCGCGAUUUAUUGAUAUAAAAUUUUUAGACAUUAAAUGAUGUUAUUAUUCUAAAUAUAUGCAAGCUCGACUUUGAAGUCCAACCUAUUUUAAACAUCUUUCCUUGUUGAUUGUGGAGAAUGGACCGUGAUUGCAUUGAAAAUACCAUUGAAGAAUAAUAAUUAAAAUAAUCAUAUUUUAUACUAUAAAAUAUUUAUUAUUGAAUAUUUAUAAAUUAUAUAUAUUUUUCUCAUUAAAAUAUCAAUAUAAAUAUUUUUUAAUUAUAUAUUAAGAAUAUUAUUUAAAAUUAAAUUAAAUUAUUAAAAUUUAUUAAUAAAAUAAAAUUAUAAUAUUAAAAUUAAAAAUAUAUUAUUAAUAUAAUUAUAUUAAACUUGAUUCAAAUUAAUUUUGUAUAUAAAGAUAAAAAUAUUCAUAAAUAAGCUUUGUUCGAUAAAUUAAUUACGUUUUCCAAAAAGUCAAAUUAAUUUACAGAAAAAUGAUAUUAUUUAAAUUUCCAUACUAAAAUACUUUUAAAUUUAAUUAAAAUUAUCAAAGACGAAUGAAAUUCAUGAAAUUAAUUUAACAACUUUUCAAUUUUUCGAAAAAAUCAAUUUGAUUCUUCUUCUUUUUUCAAAAUUUAUCAAGCCAAUUGAAACACAAAAAAAUUUAAUAUUUUUAAUUUUUGACUGACAAAAAAAAUGAUACUAUGAGAUAUUUUUUAUAUUAUUAGACCUAAUCUUAAUCUUUGGCAUUCCAUGCAAAUGUCUAAAUCUUUUUGCCCCUUUACUACGGCAUUAAAACAAUGUUUAGCAAAUUUCUUAGGGAGAUGGAUUGAUGGAUAUAAGUAGUGGAAAUUUUGAUGAUACAAUUCUUCUCUUCUUAACAAUUUCUUUCAAAGAAACAUAUUUAAAUUUCCACACCGAAACUUCUUUAAUUUAAAGGAAUAAAUCUUAAAAUUAUAAACUAUGUGUUAAUGUGUAAUUGUAUACAUGAAUUUUGAUUUUAUGCAAUGUUAUACAUGAAAUUUUGAUUUGAUUCAAUUCUUGUAAUUUAUUAACACAAUUAUUGAUAUAACAACAUUUUAUGUCUAUAUAUUGUAUACAUAAAUAAUUAUAUUUAUCUAAUAUAAAAAUAAAUUGAUGUUUUUAUUUCAUUAAAUGUGUAUGAUUAAAUCAAAAUUAAAAUUUGAAUUAUACAUUUGAACCACAAUUAGAGUUCCACGUGUAUGAUUACACCAAACUAAAGUUCAUAUAUAUAAUUGCACAUUAAAUUAAAGUUUAUAUAUAAUUUUAAGUUUUAUCCCUAUUUGAAAUUAUCAAAGACAAAUGAGAUUAACGAGAUGUAUUAUAUUAUAAACAAAGUUCGAUUCUUUGAAAAAGUUAAGCUCCAAUUUCAGAAGUUUUUUUUUCCAAAGUUUAUCAAACGAAUUCAAACACUAUGAGAUUAAACAACAUAUAAUUUUUUAAAUCUAAAAUAUGGAUUUUUUUUCUUUUUUAAAUCUAAAGUCAGUUCCAAUUUUCUAGUGUUUUAGAUUGUUUACUAACACUAAAAAGCACACCACAUUGUAAGGCAUCAUUUCUUUCAUUGUAUUUUUUUUUUUACGUAGACACCAAAAUUUCAUCGGGAUACAAAUCAGCACUUUGUGGUAAACUCAAUUUAACUCAAUUUUAAUUGUAGCAAAGCUUUUAACCGGGGGCUCUUUUUCCACCAUUUUUCUUCUAACACUUUCGGCUCCCAGCACUCUGGAGGCAUCCUCCAUCACUGAACAUUCUUCACUCACCUUCAUCAUUGCCACCACCAACCACAUCAGCAUCAGAAUCAACAUAAUCAUCUUCAUCUCAGUCACCUCUCUCACCUCUAACCCAUACCAACAUUUUUAGGGUACAAAAUUGUGCUCCAAGACACAAGCAUAGUGACACCUGAGAAUCAUCCAAUUCAUCUUCAUGUAUACGAUUUCUAUAUCAUUGCACAACGUUUAAAGAACUUCGAUCCUAAAAGGGAUACUUCUAAAUUCAACCUUGUUGAUCCACCUGUGAGGAACACCGUUGGAGUGCCUGUGAAUGGAUGGGCAACCAUCAGAUUCGUCGCUGAUAAUCCAGGUAAACACCCUUCUUCAUCAUUUCAAUUACUGUGAUUCCAUUACCAAUUUUUUACUUGUUAUUAGUAUUUUUCUUAAUCAUUUUCAUAGUAUUGUGGCAUACCAAUUCUUCCCUGCAUCUGGGAAACUAGUUUAAUGCUCUGUUUCAUUGGAUAAAUUUCCCUAAAAAGUAUGUGUACAUUGUAAUAAUAGUGUGAGAUAGUGUCGGCCUUUGGCUAACAUUGGAAAACAUACUAGAUUGUAACACAAAAAUUCUUUCAUUAUAUUUUAAUUAUUAUUAUCAUAUUAUUACAUACAAAGUUUAAUUGAAUGGUAAUUUUUAACGUAAUAAUAUUAUCAUUGAAAGGAUAAAUAGACUAAUAUAAAAACAAGUGUCAAGCUGCACUAAAACCCGGACCAACGGGUCCACCCUUUACACCCAGACCUAAAGCAUAAGACGUGAUUGAAAAAUGCUUGUAGUCAUAAGAAACUAAUUACCAUUUUCUUCAAAGAUAACGUACCUCCUGACUGGAUAUUCCAUGUCCUGUGCAUUGCUAAAUGAUACAUAAAAUUACAAUAGAAUCUGGAAAAUGAAUGUCAAUGCUACGAGUAGGAUAUGAUAGAGAAAUUUACUUUUCAACAACUAUAUAUAUCAACUACCUUUUCAAAUUAGAAAGACUAAUGCUUAAUUAGACUAAUGCUUAAUUACCAGCUAAUUUUGAAACAAGAAUUCUGAUGGAGUCACCUACACCUUACCUUAAACAUGAUAAUGCUGGCAAUUAUGGUGAACGUUGUGAACAUGACAUAGUAAACAGGACAUACAACAGUAGUAUGAAAAGUGUCUAAAGCAUGCAAAAUUGUAAGCUUUUAGUAGCAUCAAGAAUAAUAACAACUUAAAUUUAGAGUCAAUCAUCAUAUUAAAUCAAGAAUAUAAGUUGAAAGAAAUUAUUUUUUUAAAAAACACAUUUAUGCUUUUUUAUCCUAUAAGCAAUUUAAUAAUGAACAAAUUGAUCUCUCAACAAAAAUUACAAAAUAUUUCAAAAUAGUUUUUAAAAUUCAAAAUAUUUAUAAAAAAAUUAAAUUAUAUUUAUUUUUUCAAUUGUAAGAAUAUUUUUAUUAUUUUGUUUUGAAAAAGUUUUCAAAUGUAUAUAGUUUUAAAUUUAUGUGCUCUAACAUUGAAUUAGUUAUCCUAUAACAAGAUUUUAAUUUGACAUAUUUAAUUUUUUAAUUGAACUUGAAUAAUUUCACUCGAUUCAAUUUGACUCGAAUUUUAUUUCACUCGACUCAAUUCGAAAAAAUGUCAAAUCAAGUUAGGAUGAUAAAUAGGACUCAUUAGUUCAAUUAACUCAAAAAAUUUUCACUUGAUUCGAUUAAACACUCAUAAAAAUCAUCAAAAAUAAAUGAGACGGAGAUAAUUUGCUGAAGGAUAAGAUGAAAUGUGUUUUAGAAAUUAACAUUUUUUUUCUUUGGCAUGCAAGCUAAUGUUCAAGUCUUUUUACCCAAUAAUGAGUACUCCUAAAUCCAACUUAUAAAUAUGUUAUGAUCUACCAACGGGCUUAAUUAAAUCCAACACCCCAAAUUAUGGGCUCAACUCUAAAUUCAAGAUUUGGCAUUGCAUGCAAAUGUCUAAGUCUUUGCCCGAUCCUUACUAGAUGAAAACAAUGGUUUACCACUUUGUUUAAGUCAAGUCAUUAUAAACACAAAAAUAAAGCAUUUGUGUUAGCUGGUUGAGAUGGAUUGAUGAGUGAAAAUUAUGAUGACCACACAAUUUCUGCGAAACUUCGAUUGGUACAAAAUAAGUGCGAGGCUGUACCAAAACCCAACAUGUGUUUGAUAAAAUAAAAACCCAAUGUGUCAGCAAAAGGUGGGAGUAGCAGCAGCAGCUGUCUCUUUACACAAUCAGUACAAUGUCCAUCAGAUAUGGCUUUCAUGUUUGCUGGCUGUGAAGGAGGAUUGUUUCCAUACAACUUAUUUAUACACAAAUUAGUUCUUUCCAUACAUUAUUUUGAAUUUUGGACUAAGCCCGAUCACUACUGCAUCAAUGUUGUACCACUAACUUUAUUUUGGUCAAUUAAUAAAAAAAAAUGGAAUUGUGGUGAUUUUUUUUAGCUGAUUGAGAUAAAAUGAUGGCUCAAAGACUAAAUUUUCUCAUAACUUUGAUGACUUUUCAAUGAACUUAAAGUGUAUGGAAUCAAUAGAAAUUUAUGGAAUGAGAUAUUAUUGGACUUAGUCUUAGCCUUUUGGCACUGUAUGCAAAUGUCUAAAUCUUUUUUACCCCAUCAAAACAAUGUUUAGCAAGUUUCUUAUGUAGUUGAGAUGGAUUGAUGGGCACAAGUAGCGGAAAUUUUGAUGAUAAAAUGUUUACAAUUUUCCUCUUCUUAGCAAUUUCUUUGAAAGAAACAUAUUUAAAUUUUCACAAUAAAAUUUCUUUAGAUUUAAUUGAAAUUAUCAAAGAAAAAUGAGAUUGACAAGAUAUCUUAUAUUAUUAACAAUUUUUCGAUUCUUUCAAAAAAUUAAUUUCAAUUUCAAAAGUUUUUUGAAAUUAAUAGAACUAUCAUUGAAAGGAUAAACAAACUAGUAUAAAAAUAAGUGUCCGGCUGAACUAAAACUCAGACCAACAGGUCCACCCUUUACACCCGGUCCUAAAGCCCAACACGUGAUUGAUAAAAUAUAAAGCUAAUAUCUGUUUGGAAGAGCAAAGGAUGAGAGUAGCAGCAUCUGCGUCUCUUUACACAAUCCGUCCAAUGUCCAUCAGAUAUGGCUUCCAUCAACAUCAUGCCAUUAAAUCUCCUCAGCUGUACAAAUAUUCUGAAGAUAAAAUAAUUGAAGUAAAAGUAAAUUGCAUAUAAAAGAAAGCUUGGGCAGCCAUUUCCUUGUUUAUAAUAUCAUUAUUAGCAUGGAAAUUCAGUAGCAGUGAAACAUUGCAUCCCCCAAAUCCACAGGGACCUGGAUGCAAAAUGAAUAAACACUAAUAUAUACUCAUGGAAAACUACAAAAGGAAAAAAGUGCAUAUAAAGCAAAAUUACAAACCAGUGGAUUGAUCUUGUUAGGAUCAUUGCCUACAUUCUUCAUGAACCUCACAACUGUACAUUCCAUGUCCUGCUUCAAGUACCUCCUGCAUUGCUCAAUGGUAACAUCAAAUUACAAGUACGAUAUAAUAGUGAACUUGGUAAAGACAGCAAAAAAUGAGGUUAUAUAUAUAUAUAUAUAUAUCAACUAUCUGUUCAAAUUAGAAAGACAAAUGCUUACCAGCUAAUUUUGAAGAAAGAAUUCUGAUGGAGUCACCUAUAUCUUCUGCUAUUUCUUUUCCCACACUUUUUGAACUUGUCCACCCAUUUGUUUCCCAACUCAUUCAGCACUGUAUAUCCAAUACAUAGCCCAACGACUAAUCCACUAGCAUAACCUAUCAACGCAAUUUUCCAAGUAGACAGAGCAUAUAACCAUGAAUCUUCAUCUUCCCCUGGAGGUGGUGGCAUUGGAAGACCAACUUCAUUGCAUUUUCUUGACAAUGGCAGCCCACACAAUUUUGGGUUCCCACGGUAGGAAUCAUUUGUAAAUGUAAUGAAUUGGUUGCUUUGUGGUAUGCUCCCUUCAAGUUGGUUGUAUGACAAGUUCAAUGCUUCCAGGAAAGUUAGACUUGUAAGUUGUGGAGGAAUCUUCCCUGACAGCUUGUUUCUUGAGAGAUCCAAAGAUUCGAGGUCUUUUAGAUUUUGAAGUGCUAAUGGGAUUUCACUAGAGAAGCUAUUGUUGGAUAAGUUCAUCACUCUGAGUGACCUCAGCAUUUGUAUUUCUUCUGGUAUUCUCCCAUGGAAACUAUUGUUGGAAAGGUCAAGACAAGUAAGAAUUGCCAAGACUUUUUGGUAGAACAUUUCAAUCCCUUUGUUAACAAUUGUCACAGAGUCUUGAUAAUAAUUCUCUCCGAUAUAAUUCAGCUUAGCCUUUUCGUCAUUAGUCAUCUUCGCCAUUGCCUUCAAACUCUGCAAAAAUUCAAUGGACAAGUCACCUGAAAAAUUGUUGGAAGCAAUGUCCAAUAUACGUAGCUUUGGAAACCCACAUUCCGUGUCGAUUUUUGAAAUUGUACCGUAGAAUCUGUUUGCUCGCAAAACGAGAACCUUCAAGGAAGGUAGCUUCUCUAGCCAAAAUGGGAAUGUAUCAUGAACCAUAUUAUUUCCGAGGUCCAGAACCUCAAGUGCUGUGCAAUUGGCUAAUGAUCUCGACAGCUUCCCUUCCAAUUUAUUCCCACCUAUUUUGAGUGACCUUAGUCUAGUGGGUUGAAGGAAAUCAAUGGAUAGUUCACCAGAAAACUGGUUUGAAGCAAUGUCCAAUACAUCCAAAGUUGGGAAAACAGAUUUAUGUUUGAAAUGUUUAAUUUGACCAUAAAACCUGUUUUCCCGCAAAAUGAGAACCUUUAGCGCAGGCAAUUUCUCCAACCAAAAAGGGAAUGUAUCAUUGAUCAUGUUGCUUCCUACAUCCAAAACCAUAAGUUGAGUGCAUUUUGCUAAUGAUCUGGGCAACUUCCCUUCCAAUCUAUUCUCACUAACUUUCAGAAAUUGCAGUUGGGUUGCUUUUGAAAAUUUUGGUAUCAUUCCACUGAAGUUAUUUCCUUGCAAACCCAACCAACUCAGAGCACUCAUAUUGCCCAAGCAAUUUGGAAUUGGGCCACUCAAAUUGUUAUAAGAUACAUCGAAACUGUAAAGUUGACUCAUAUUGCAUAACCAAUUUGGAAUUGGGCCACUCGAAUUGUUAUAAGAUGCAUCUAAACCGCUAAGCUGACUCAUAUUGCAUAACCAAUUUGGAAUUGGGCCACUCAAAUUGUUAGAAGAUGCGUCGAAUUCUUCUAAAUUUUCUUGACUCUUUAAGAACUCCGGAAAUGCACUUAUGUUACAAGAUUCCAGACGCAAUCGCCUCAACAUUGGGAAAGAGAAGUUUGCAUCACUUAAAGGAAGUUGUUUUGGAAAAUCAAUCACAUUGAAAGAAAGGUCUAAGGAUAAAAGACUGCUCUUCCACAACCAAUUAGGCACAACACCAUGGAUAUGGUUGCUAGAAAGAUCUAAGUCAACCAACUUGUCUUGUGUUUUGAUGAACUCUGGAAACGCACUUAUGUUACAGGAUGUCAAACGCAAGUCUUUCAACAUUGGAAAUGAAAAGUUUGCAUCAUUUAAGGGAAGCUGUUUUGGAAAAUCAAUCAUAUUGAAAGAAAGGUCUACCCAUGAAAGACUGCUCUUCCACAACCAAUUGGGCACAAAACCAUGGAUAUGGUUGUUAGAAAGAUCUAAGCCAACCAACUUGUCUUGCCUUUUAAUGAAUUCUGGAAAUUCAGUAAGGUUGCAUGACCAUAGCCUUAGUGUCUCUAAUUGGGGUAAAGUAAGACUUCUGUUGUCGCUUUCAAUUAACAAGCUUAUAUUGUUUAGCCAGAGAGUCCUUAAGUUGUUGAGUUGGACAAACAUGUCAAGCUUCAUGGAACUGAAGCUAUUGCUUUCAAUAUAAAGCCAUUCAAGCCUUGGAAGUUGAAGGAUUGACUUUGGGAUUGGUCCUGUUAAAUAAUUAUUGCCUAUAUAUAGUUCUUGAAUCAAAGAAGAAGAUGCAUUGGGGAACUCAUCAAUUUUCCCAACCAAUUGAUUUUCUCCAAGAUACAAGAUCUUCAACGAUGGAAGAGUAAAUAAAGAAGAAUGUAUUGAUCCAGAAAGCUUGUUCCCUCCUAGAUAUAGGUUGACCAGGUGACUAAGAUUUGCAAUUGACGAUGGAAUGGGUCCAAAAAAAUUGCAAUCAUCAAGCUCUAAAUUUGUCAGGAACUUGAGGUUACCAAUUGAUUGGGGUAGUUUUUCACUGAAAUUUGUAUAAGAAAGCGACAAACUCUGUAAAGAAUUGUUUGAUGAAAAUUCUGGCAACUGACCCAUAAGUUGGUCAUUAUCUGAAAUGUCAAUGCUUUGCAUUUUUGGCGAUAAGAGAUUUUCAGUUGGAAAAUGGCCACUCAAAUUGCAGUUCCUCAAACUGAGAGAAACCAAACGAGAGGAAAUUUCCAAGAAAUUGGGAGGUAAAUAAGAGAUUGGGUUCCAAUCAAGGAUAAGUUUGGAAAGAAAAGAGAGUCUUGAGAGUGAAGAACAUAAUGGACCUUUCAAACCACAGCUUGACAGACUCAACACAUGCAGGUUUGGAAGUACAAGAGAUGUGGUUUCACACCAUUUAGUACUUUGAGUUGAAAUGUCGACACCAUCCAAAUAAAGCUCCGUGAGAAACUUCAAAUUCUUGAUAAAUGUCUUGAAGUUUGGUUUCUCCAAUUUUAAAGUAGCUGAAUCAUAAUCGUAACCAUUUCUCAAAUAACAAGAACCUUGAUUGGAUAGAUCAAGAGAGACUAACCUUUUUAAGAAUGAGAUCUCCACUGGAAUUUGGCCAUGGAAACAUGAGCUUGAAAGGUUGAGAUGAGUUAGAUUUUGGAGUUCAUCAAACCCAUAGGAAAACAGAGUGGUAUUAAAGUUGUUUCCAGCAAGAUUCAGGUGUUGAAGAUGAUGGAGAUCGAAUAUGGAGUGAAAGCUGCCUGAAAGGUUUUUGUAACUAAGAUCAAUGCCAACGACAUGACCAUAAGCAUCACAAGUGACUCCUUCCCAAGAACAACAAUCAGUGUUGACAUCCCAGAGGUCAAAAUUGGAAGAGAAAGUAAAAUUAGGGGCAUAGUAAAGAUGAUGCUGCAAUUGCAGGAGAGGAGCUCUCUGGUCUUCAAGGCAUUGCUUAGGGAGAUGAGUUUGAGGAGGUGAAAAAGACAAGACAAGAGAAAGGAAGCAUGAGAAGAGGAAGAGUGAAAUAAGGAAAUGAAGAGUGUUCAUGUUUGUUGGGUGUGAAGAAGGAUUGUGCUUGGCAUACAACUUAUUUAUACACAAAUGUGUAGUUUUCAUGUUUGGCAUAGCAUGCAAUUUCCAAGUCUUUUUGCCCAGUCAAUACUGCAUCAAAAUAAUGUUCCACCACUUUAGUUAAGUCUUUUUGGUUAACCUUUUCCAGCAAGGGAUAAUAAUAAUAAUAAUACUAAUAAUAAAUAAUUUAUAGCAUAAAUUAUUUGUUGUUAGUAUUAGAAAUAAGUUGUUAAAUUCACAUUUAAUUUGCGUUUUAAUAUAUUAUUAGAGAAUAAUAUAUUAUUGAUGUCAUUUUUUUAAUAUUUAAUUUUUAUGUUUUAUAUUAAUAAAUAUUUUUAUAAUUCGAGUUUCGAGUUGAAUUUUACAAUUUAAAUAACUCAAAUACUUCAAACAAUAAAUUGAUGUACAUGCUCCUUUGGUCCCUGUCAAUUUUAAAAAUUAACAAAUUGAUCUCUCUCAACAAAAGUUUUCAAAUAAAAUUUUAAAUAAUUUUUAAAAUCAAAAUAUUCAUAAAAAUUCUCAAAUUUAUAUUUUGUAAAAACUAUAAUAAUUUUAAAUCAUAAUGGUUUUAAUUUGAAAAUUUUAAAAUCUUUAAUUUAGGACCAGAAAAAAUUGUAGUAUGAAAUAUUAUAGGCCUUUUAAUUUAGGUAUUAAGUCUUUGGCAUUGCAUGCAAAUGUCCAAGUUUUUAUUGCACAAAAAUAAUGUUUAACCAAUGUGUACAAGUCAAGUCACCUUAUAGAUUGAUGGACACAAUAAGUGGAAAUUUUGAUGAUAGAAUAUAUAGAAUUUUUCACUUUUGAAAGAUACAUUUUUAAAUUUCAGCUUUCAAACUUUCUUAAAGCUUGAGAAAUAUUUUCAUUUCUAUAUUAUUAUUUAAUUAUUAUUUAAUUUUAAUAUUUUAAUAUUUUAUAAUAUUAAAAAUAGUUAUAAUUCGAGGUUCGAGUUGAAUUUUAUAAUUUAAAUAAUUCGAAUAAUUCAAACAACAGAUUGAUAUAUUUACUCCUUUGAUUCUUGUCAAUUUUAAAAAUUAACAAAUUAAUAUUCUCUCUCAACAAAAAUUACAAAAAUAUAUUAAAAUAUUUUUAAAGUUAAAAUAUUCAUAAAAAUUCUAAAAUUUAUAUUAUGUAAAGACUAUAAUAAUUUUUUAUUAUUUUGCUUUGAAACAGUUUUUUAAUAUUUAUGAUUUCAAAUAUUAAUUAUACUAUAAUAAGAUUUUAAUUUGACAUAUUUAUUUUUUAAUUUAAAUCAAACAAUUUUACACCCUAAAUAAUUUUGACCUGUCACCAGUAUACACACAGGUCAAAUUAAUACAAAUACAUAAGAGCUCAAAAAUAACACUAAAAAAAACAAUUGUUUGAUUUAUUAGUAGAGAAUUGGAUUUUUAAUUCUAAUGAUUAAAUAUCAAACUCAAACAACUUCAAAUAUAUAUACAUAAAGGAUGUUAUGAAACACUCAUAAAAAUCAUCAAAAAUAAAUGAGACGGGGAUAAUUUUUUGAAGGAUAAGAUGAAAUGUGUUUUAGAAUUAACAUUUUUUUUUCUUUGGCAUGCAAGCUAAUGUUCAAGUCUUUUUACCCAUUAAGGAGUACUCCUAAAUCCCAACUUAUAAAUAUGCUAUGAUCUACCAACGGGUUUAAUUAAAUCCAACACCCCAAAUUAUGGGCUCAACUCUAAAUUCAAGAUUUGGCGUUGCACGCAAAAUGUCUAAGUCUUUGCCCGAUCCUUACUAUAUGAAAACAAUGGUUUACCACUUUGUUUAAGUCAAGUCAUUAUAAACACAAAAAUAAAGCAUUUGUGUUAGCUGGUUGAGAUGGAUUGGUACAAAAUAAGUGCGAGGCUGUACGUACUAAAACCCAACAUGUGUUUGUUAAAAUAAAAACCCAAUGUGCCAGCAAAAGACGGGAGUAGCAGCAGCAGCUGUGUCUCUUUACACAAUCAGUAUAAUGUCUAUUAGAUAUGGCUUUCAUGUUUGCUGGCUGUGAAGGAGGAUUGUUUCCAUACAACUUAUUUAUACAAAAAUUAGUAAUUUCCAUACAUUAUUUUUAAUUUUGGACUCACCCCGAUCACUACUGCCUGAAAAUAAUGUUGUUCCACUAAUUUUAUUUUAGUCAAUUAAUAAAAAAAAUGGAAUUGUGGUGAUAUUUUUUUAACUGAUUGAGAUAGAUUGAUGGCUCAAAGACUAAAUUUUCUCAUAACUUUGAUGACUUUUCAAUGAACUUAAAAGUGUAUGGAAUCAAUAGAAAACUAUGGAAUGAGAUAUUAUUGGACUUAAUUAGUCUUAGCCUUUUGUCACUGCAUGCAAAUGUCUAAAUCUUUUUGACCCCAUCAAAACAAUGUUUAGCAAUUGUUUCUUAGGUAGUUGAGAUGGAUUGAUGGGCACAAGUAGUGGAAAUUUUGAUGAUACAAUGUUUAUAGUUUUCCUCUUCUUAGUAAUUUCUUUGAAAGAAACAUAUUUAAAUUUCCACAUUAAUAUUUUUUUAGAUUUAAUUGAAUUUAUCAAAGACAAAUGAGACUAACGAGAUGUCUUAUAUUAUUAACAAUUUUUUAAUUCUUUGAAAAAACUAAUUUGAAUUUCAAAUUUUUUUUUCAAUUUCAAAAUGCUACAAAUCAAACAAAUCAGGAAUAAAAAUUUAAUUUGCCAUUCUCCUCCUAUUAGGAAGGGAUAUAGAUGACGUGAAUAAAGAGAAUGGAUUGUAGGAAACUAUAAUUUCAUGUCAUCCUAACAAAUCACAUUUUGUUCUCCUAAUUUUCAACCUUUUCCUCUUGGAAAAAUUCAAAUCCAAUUAAAAAUGCUACAAAUUAGACAAAUUAGGAAUAAAAAUUUAAUUUAUUAUUCUCCACUUAUUAAAAAGGGACAGAAAUAACGUGAAAUUACAGUUUCAUAUCAUUCUUUCCCUUAAAUAAAUUCUUUUAAAUGUUUUACAAUGAUAAAAUUGUCGCUUGAAUAAAUUCUUAUAAAUGUUUUACAAUAAGAGAAUUGAUUAUUUUUAUUAAGAUCACAUAUUUAUUUCUAAUGUUUUAGAUUGUUUGCCAAUACUAAAAACCACACCACAUUAUAAAGAAUCAUUUAUUUCAUAUAUUUUAAUUUUUAUCAUAAUUUACUUUUGGCUACAUCCAAAGGGUUAAUUCCUUAAAUUAUGGACUAAAUUUUAAAUUGAUCUCUAAAUUUUUUAAAAAAAAAUUAAUUACUCAAACAAUAAAUCACAUUCUAAUUUGAAAUUUUUAAUUUUGGACUAACAAAGAAAAUAUUAGUGUGAGAUAUUGUUGGCCUUUGGCUAACAUUGGAAAGCAUACUAGAUUUUAAGACAUAAUUUAUUUCAUUAAAUUUUAAUUAUUAUUUUUAUUUUUAUCAUAUAAUUAUCUAAUUCAAUCAUAUUUUUGAAAUUAAUAAAACUAUCACUGAAACGAUAAAUAAACUAGUAUAAAAAUAAGUGUCUAGCUGAACUAAAACCCGGACCAACAUUAUAAACUAAUUAAAAUGAUUUUCUACUAUUUUAAUAAUUUGGACUAAUUAAUAACAUUAUAAAGAUGUAAUGCCUAAAUUAUGUUAAAGAUUAAAGUAUAUAUAUGUAUGUAUACAUAUUACUAUUUUUAACCAAUUCUUUUUAUAUUAUAUAUAUAUGAAUAUAUUUUUUUAAAUGCAAAUAUAUAUAUUUUUUAUAUACUUUAUAAUUUAUUUUUUCCUUUUACUUUCGUAAAUGCAUCAUGUAUGUAUAAGUUUCAUAGCCCAAAAUUUAUUUGUAAAUUAUAUGUAUAUUUUUAAUCUUCAUAAUUUUCAUGUGUGUAUUAUAUGUCUUCUGAUUUUUAUUUAUUUUGUUUGUUUUCCUCAUUCGAGGUAUAAUUGUGUUUACAUUUAAUGUUUUGCAUGUCAUGGAUCAUUAUUUUUUUAUUUCGUUUAUUUAUUUGUUUAUAUUAUUUUUAUGCCAUUAAUGUAUUUAUUAUCGUUGUAUUUAUUAUUAUAGCAUUUGUAUGUAUAAUAUAACGUUACAUCAUCUUUUACUCAAAUUUAAAAUUAGAAAAUUUCCAAGAUUGAGAUAAUGCUCGUAUUAAGGAUUUUCAAGGAAAUUGAGCCCUAACGUAUUGGGUUCCGAUUUUCUUCGUUAAAUCCAACGAUCGAGCAUUUCUCUUUAAUCAAAAAUAAUAACUCAUUAUUGGGAAUUCAACACGUUGUGUCCUAACGUAUUGGAUGUGACGCAUUGAUUUCUCGAAAUGAAGAUUUUUUAAAAAUAAUAAAGGGAAUAUUCCGAAUUUGGGAUUUUAAAGGAAUUGUGCCCUAACGUAUUGGGUGUGAUUUCUUAAAUCUUGGAUAAGUGGAUGUUCUUUUAAAGUAAAGGAAAUAUUCCGAGUUUGGGAUUCUAAAGGGAUCGUGCCCUAACGUAUUGGGUGUGAUUUUUAAAUCUUGGAUGAGUGGAUGUUCUUUUAUUCUGACCUAAUUCAUUUUGGGGAAAAUUAGAAUGUUGUGCCCCAACGUAUUGGGUGUGGCAUUUUUGCUUCUCUGAAUUGAAAAGGGUAUUAAUAUGCAACGUUUUAAGUUUUUUAAAAGAUUAUUUUAAAAUUUUCGACCUUAAGACAUUAAUUAAUUAACUAGGUACCAAUUUUUGGGCGUAAUGGGGGUGCUAAUCCUUCCUCAUACGUAACCGACUUCCAGACCCGUUUUUUUAAAAAGAAUUCGUAGACCAAAGCCGUUUUAGGUGAUCCAAUCACACCUUACUAAAAGAUUGGUGGCGACUCCGAAUUUUCUUUUUUUAAGUCGACAACCUAAAAAUUUUGUUGUUUUCAAAAAAAUGGUUUCGACAAUUAGUAUUUUUCUUAAUCAUUUUCAUAGUAUUGUGGCAUACCAAUUCUUCCCUGCAUCUGGGAAACUAGUUUAAUGCUCUGUUUCAUUGGAUAAAUUUCCCUAAAAAGUAUGUGUACAUUGUAAUAAUAGUGUGAGAUAGUGUUGGCCUUUGGCUAACAUUGGAAAACAUAUACUAGAUUUUAACACAAAAAUUCUUUCAUUAUAUUUUAAUUAUUAUUAUCAUAUUAUUACAUACAAAGUUUAAUUGAAUUGUAAUUUUUAACGUAAUAAGGCUAUCAUUGAAAGGAUAAAUAGAUUAAUAUAAAAACAAGUGUCAAGUUUCACUAAAACCCGGACCAACGGGUCCACCCUUUACACCCGGACCUAAAUUUAACUCGAAUAAUUUCAUAUGAUAAUGUUUUUUAUAUACCCUAUAAUUUUGACCGGUCAACACUAUAAACACACGUAAAAUACAAAUACAUAAGAGCUCAAAAAUAACACUAAAAAAAACAAUUGUUUGAUUUAUUAGUAGAGAAUUGGAUUUUUAAUUCUAAUGAUUAAAUAUCAAACUCAAACAACUUCAAAUAUAUAUACAUAAAGGAUGUUAUGAAAAAUAAAAUUAACAAAUGAAAAAACAUAAGGAACAUUUCAGUAGCAACUUUUUACAUAGACAUCAAAUAAAGAAACACUCUUAAUUUUACUUUUGUUUGUCUCUCUUCUUCUUUUUUUACCUUUCUUGUAUGAAACUAAAUGCAAGAAAAGUAAAGAUUAGAAUCCAAAUACGAAUUUCAAACCUGUAGGGCUGAGUAUCUAGAUUCGAGACUAUAUUUAGUUCAGGAGAUGUAUAAUCAGGGAGUCUGCCACUGAGAACUUUUUCCCAUAUCUUUGGUUUUGUGAAGGAGGAAUAUUGUGCCUGAUAAAAUUAUAAUAAAUCCACAUAAUUCUGUUGUAAUCUCUGUCCCGCCUUAUGAAUAGGAUUGUAUAUAAAUCAAGUUUAAUCCGUCAGUUUAUUUUUUUUGGCCUAUUAGUGUUCACGUUUAUGCAUAUAAACUAAAUAAAUAUGUCUACGAUGUUCAUGAAAAUAGUCAAACAUUUCCAUAAGAAAGUUAGUCAAACUCAAAAAUAAAAAUAAAAUUUGUUGAUUUACACUCCCUACCUAUAUAAGUGGAGUAAGGAUGUAUAUAGAUAAAAACCUUACCUUAAACAUGAUAAUGCUGGCAAUAAUGGUGAACGUUGUGAACAUGACAUAGUAAACAGGACAUACAACAGUAGUAUUAAAAGUGUCUAAAGCAUGCAAAAUUGUAAGCUUUUAGUAGCAUCAAGAAUAAUAACAAUAACUUAAAUUUAGAGUCAAUCAUCAUAUUAAAUCAAGAAUACAAGGUUGAAAGAAAUUAUUUAAAAAAAAACACGUUUAUGCUUUUUUAUUCUAUAAGCAAUUUAAUAAUAAGCAAAUUGAUCUCUCAACAAAAAUUACAAAAUAAUUUUUAAAAUUCAAAAUAUUUAUAAAAAUUUCAAAUUUCAAAUUUCACUUCACUCAACUCAAUUCGAAAAAAUGUCAAAUCGAGUUAGGAUGAUAAAUAUGACUCAUCAGUUCAAUUAACUCAAAAAAUUUUCACUUGAUUUGAUCAAACACUCAUAAAAAUCAUCAAAAAUAAAUGAGACAGAGAUAAUUUGUUAAAGUAUAAGAUGAAAUGUGUUUUAGAAUUAACAUUUUUUUUCUUUGGCAUGCAAGCUAAUGUUCAAGUCUUUUUACCCAUUAAUAAAUCCUAAUUUAUUAAGUAGUAUCCAACUUAUAAAUAUGUUAUGAUCUAUCAACGGGUUUAAUUAAAUCCAACACCCCAAAUUAUGGGCUCAACUCUAAAUUCAAGAUUUGACAUUGCAUGCAAAUGUCUAAGUCUUUGCCCGAUCCUUGCUAUAUGAAAACAAUGGUUUACCCCUUUGUUUAAGUCAAGUCAUUAUAAGCACAAAAUAAAGCAUUUGUUUUAGCUGGUUGAGAUGGAUUGACGGGAAUAUGGAGUGGAAAUUAUGAUGACGACACAAUUUCUGCGAAACAGAUUAGUACAAAAUAAAUGCGAGGUUGUACUAAAACCCAACAUGUGUUUGCCCGAUCAAUACUGCAUGAGAUGGAUUGAUGGGCACCACUUAUGACUUAUGGGUGGAAAUUUUGAUGAUAAAAAGUGUGGGGUUCUUCUGAAAUUUACUUUGGGUUGAUUGAAAUUGAUGAUCACAGAUUAGUUGAAAUGUCUUACAAUAUUAGCCACUUUUCAAUCCUUUACACUUUCAAAGUUUGUCCAACCAAUUGAAAUGCAACAAGCAUAUAGUUUUUUAAGUCCAAAAUUAGAUUCUUUUUAUUGGUUUACAUAAUUAAUUUUCAUUUUCUCUUCAAUUAUUUAAAUCUAUUAUCUUUCUUUUAUUUUUUCAUGAACAAAGAUAAAAUCAUAAUUGGAUUAAGUCGGGUCAGGUCAUUCUAGAGCAAUAAUCAUAUAAUUUUUGAAGAAUUUUAUCCAAUGGUUGCAUAUAGCUAUACACGCCUAGAUGCCUUGAAAAUAUCAUUGCUUCCGGUCCAUCGACUACUCAGUUACCCUAUUUGAAUACAUGUGUCACCCUAAUCAUCCAAAGACAUUGAAUAAUUUCUUUAAUAAUUCGUAACACAGCUAAAUGGUGGAACUCAACUGAUCAUCUUGAAUCAAUUAGAUUGUAGUCAUAUUAUUCAUCUCAAGGACAAUCCAUUGAAAACCUAAUCUCUAAGUCAUUUGAAAUCCCUCCAAAGCUCCGCAAAGCUCGACAUUGAGUGUAUAACAACAUAAUGUAUUUAGAGACAAAGCUCAUAGAUUUAUUUUCUAAUUAGGAAAUUAUAUGUUUUUAGUGUAGGACUAAUAAAGAAACGAUAGUAUGCAUGGGUUUUUAUCAAAUGGAGUCUUUGACUUAGUCUUGGCAUGCAUACUUGCAAAUGACUCCUAUUGCCCAGUCAUUACUUAAUUAUGUUCUACUAAUUUCCAGGCCGGUUCUUAAUAUUUUUGGGCUUCAGGCAAACAAUAAAUUAGACUUUUUUUAAAAAAAAUUAUAUAAAAUGUAAUGCAAUAACAGCUGAACAUAUUUUGCGGCUUAGGUGAUGAAAUAUUUAUGGUGAAAAAUUAAAAAUCUUAUGCAUCUAAUUAAUUUAUUUUAGUCUGAAAUUUUUUUUCUUAUAUUAAAAACUGAAAAAAAUAAAUUUUUAAGCCCCUUCCACGAUUAUACUCUCAAAUAACCCGAUUGCCGGGGUUGCUAGUUUCCUUAAAAACCACAGAAAUAUAUUAAUCAAGUGAUAGAGACGCAGUGCAAUUUCAACACAAUUUGAAAAAGAUUGAACUUUUAAACUUUCUUGGUUUAAUUGAAAUCACUAAACUAAAUGAAAAAUGAAUUAGUGGAGAUGCCUUGGACGCUUUCUAAUUUCUUUCAAAAAAACUACUUCAAAAAUAUAUCUAUUUUUUCAAACUAAAUAAGAUUAAAGAGUUUGCUGACUGGCAACGGCGCCGUCGUUCACGUUGGCCCGGAAAAAUUAAAAAUUUUCCUUUUUUCUUUCCUCUCUCUAUUGGCCUCCCGAGCUUAGAUCUACCGAUCACCGUCCAAAAAAGUAAGAAAGUUUUGAUUUUUUUUCUUUUUUUUUGUUUCUUAUAUAUAUAUAUAUAUAUAUUCAAAAUAAAUAAAUAAUGCCUACCGGCUAAAUUUGAAACAAGAAUUCUGAUGGGAGUCACCUACAUCUUCUUCUAUUUCUUUUCCCACACUUUUUGAACUUAUCAACCCAUUUGUUUCCCAACUCAUUCAGCAUUCUAUAUCCAGCUCAUUUAUUUUCCCUCAAACUUUUAUUCCCCUAAACUUUUUAUUUUUCCCCUAAACUUUUACUUCUCAUCCUUUACUCCCAAAUAAAAAAAUCAAAAUUAUCCAAAAAACCCCUUAAACAUAAAUAGUAAUACUUUUAUUUAUAUCUACUAUUUAUAUUAUUAAAUUAAAUUUCACAUUUUAUAUUAUUUAUAUUAUUGAAUUGUUUAGUCAUAUUGAAUAUUUAUAUUAAAUUUGAAUUAUUAAUGAUGCCAUAAAAUAUUCAUGUUAAAAUUUUAUAUUGGUAUCAAUUUCACAUUUUAUCUUUAAAAUAACUUUUAUUAAAAAAAAGCACAUUUUUACAUUUAAUAUUUUUUUAAUUCCAAAAUACAUAGUGACAAGAAUCUGAAGAUAAUUGAAACAACUAAGCAAGCAAAGAAGCUAACACAUAUAUAAAAGAUUAAAAUAUAAAUUAUGAGGUGAUGAAAGUUAAUAACAAAUUUGAUUAUGGUAGACAAAUUUUAUUACGGUGGGUGACAGUGGUUACAACUACUCAAAAUUAUUUUUAAAAAUUUGACUUGAAUGAAUUCCAUCACAUUUGACUUGAUUCCAGAAAAUUUCAAAUUAAAUUAAGAUGAUAAAAUAUGAUUCAUCAACUUGAUUAACUCGAAAUUUUUCCAUUCCAUUCGAUUCGAUUUCAUUCGAUCGAACACUCACCCCUAACUGCAUGAAAGUAAUGUUCAACCACUUUGUUUAAUUCAAGUCAUUAAAAUAUCAAGUAGUGGAAAUUUCUAAGUCUUUGAUAUGAAUGCAAAAUUCUAAGUCUUUAUAACUGCAUGCCAAUAAUAAUGAUGAUGAUGAUGUACCAAUUUGAUUAAGGAAGGUCAUUAAAAAAAAGAAAUAAUGGUAAUUUUUUAAUAAAAUAAUUUAUUAUUGAAUUUUUUAAGUAAAAUUUGGUAUAAGACCCAAAAAUGGUAUAAAAUUAUUCAUUGAACAUAUAUAAACAUUAUCGUUGAUAAAAAAAAUUUUAAUACUUUAUACUUAUAAAAAAAUGAUAACAUGAGAUAUUAUUGCCUUUAAUCUUAGUCGUUGGCAUUGCAUGCAGAUGCAAAUGUUAAAAGUCUUUUUGCCAUAUCAUUAAUGCAUGAAAACCUAUGUUGAACCACUUUGUUGAACUCUUAAUAUUCUUCUUAUUAAUGCCAGGUUUCAAUCUUCUUGUCGGCUCUUUAUUCUAUAUAAAUGAUUUUCUAAUUUUAAUUUUCUUAAAUUUUAAUCAUUAAAAAAAUAAAAUUAUAGCAAUAAUAAUGUCCUUUAAACCUUAUUAGAGCCAUGAUUACACGUAGAAUGAACAAAGAUAUUUUUGUUCUAACUUCACUUGAAAUAAUGGUUGAAGUUGUUGCCUACCCUAAUCAGCACCAAAAACAUGUCAUCUACCUAAUCAGUCACACCUUCUCCUAUACGCACAUUAAAACCAAUAUUAUUGAUUGUAAAGCAUUCCGUUGUCAAGAUUUAUGACCAUAGACCUAACCAUAAUACUCAAUAAAUUCGCCAACACCACCAUGACCAUGUUUCCUCAACAUUGGUGUUAGAGUCAAAACCAGAUUGGUUUCUGUUACACCGUCUCGAAAUUUCCCAGACAACAUGGACCAUAGGCUGCUGAAUUUUGAAAAUUGAAAUUUUGUAUUGAAUUUCACUUCUAAGUUUUGGUUUUACAAAAGUUUAGGAUAAUGUCAAUAAUUUUGCAUGCUUCGACCGCUACCGCCCACAAUCAGUGCUCCAUGGAUUAUAACAGGCUUUGCAUGCUUCAACCAUUACUACCUUUCUAGCCACAAUGAGAAGGCCAGCAUAUAUAAAAUUCAGCUCAAUUGAUGGCCUUUGGUCGAAAAUAGUUUAUGAUCAUACCAAUUAAAACGCAAUCAUAGGACAUAUAGUCUAUUAAAUCUAAAAUAUGGAUUUUUUUCCCUUUCUUUUUUCUUCAUGUGCUAAUUUUUAUUUCUUGUAAAUAUUUUAAAUAAGUAUUAAUUUCUAUAAAUUCGUUUAAAUGUUUCGUGAAUCAUUUGAAUAAACUACUAUAUUUAUAGUAAAAAUGAGGUUGCAAUUGCAAGAGAGGAGAUAUGUGAUCAUCAAAGCGUUGGCUUGGGAGAUGAGAUUGAGAAAGAGAGGAUGAGAAGAGAAAGAAGAAAGGAAGAAAAAGUGAAACAAGGGAAUGAAGAGUCUUCAUGUUGGUCAAACCUGGUCCAAGACCAUCCAGAAUGCCCCAUAGUUUUGAAUUAUGAGUUUUAUUGGUCUUGUUAAUCAUAUUAAUUUCAAUAUAUUCAUAGACUUAGUCUUAGCCUGUGGCAUUGCAUGCAAAUGCCUAAAUCUUUUUGCAUGAAAACAAUGUUUACCAAACCAAUUCCAAUUCUUUGAAAAAAUUAAUUCCAAUUCCAAAAGGUUUUUUUAUUUUUUUUAUUUCAAAAUUUACCAAACCAAUUGAAACCCAAUGAGAUUAAAGAAUAUAUAAUUAUUUAAAUCUAAAAUAUGAUUUUUUUAUUCGUACAAAACACGGCUAAUUUUAAAUUUUUGUGGUCUCCACAAAUGGCCAGCUACCUGCACAAGGACACUGGCAAAUAACCGCCUGCAGCAGUACAUUCCUCAGCACCAUUCCGCACAGCCAAGGCACCGCAGCUCUAUGAGGAGCACAUACUCCUCUCCAAGCUCCUGGAUCCAAUAAAAAUACAAAAGGAGGUUAGCACCGCCGCCGCCAGAUUUGCCCAUAUGUUAAGAGAAUUCAUCAAUGAAAUUCAUAAGCCCAAUAACAAGGGUGAUUCCAUUACCAUUUUUUUGUUAUUAGUAUUUUUCUUAGUAUUGUAGCAUACCAAUUCUUCCCUGCAUCUGGGAAACUAGUUUAAUCCUCUGUUUCAUUGGAUAAAUUUCCCUACAAAGUAUGUGUACAUUGUAAUGAUAAUGUGACACGUUGUUGGCCUUUACUAGACUGUAAGACAUAAUUUCUUUCAUUAUAUUUUAAUUAUUAUUAUCAUAUUACAUACAAAGUUUAAUUGUAGGGUAUUUUUUUAAAGUAAUAAAACUAUCAUUGAAAGAAUAAAUUGACUAAUCCCAAUACCAAUUUAGAAUAGGAUUAUUGUAUUUAAAGCAGAAGUUCACAGUUGAGUAAACUAAAUCCUAAGAUGAUAAGAUCCAACCAUCCGCGUAUGAUAUAAACUACAUGUAAGAGAACGUCGAGUGCAACAUAUCAGUUUUGGGAUUAACCUUUUCACCAUAUGCUUCUCCUUUUCUCAACUUUAUGCUGCCAAUCUGUGCUUUCUUCUCAGAUUGUUGGCCUGAAAAUUAGAAUAUGAAGCUUCUCAUUUCACUUGCAAUUAUCAUGUUUUUCAUAUGCAUAACAUGGCUAAUUUUUAUUUCUUGUAAAUAAAUAUUUCAUUUCCGUAAAUUCGUUUAAAUGUUUCAUAAUGGGAGAAUCAUUUGAAAAAGCUACCAUAUUUAUAGUGUUUUACAUUGUUUGUCAAUUCCAGAAAACGGACCAUAUUUUAAGAUAUCUAAUUUUUCAUUAUAUUUUACUUACUUAUUUUUAAAGUAAUAAAACUAUUAUUAAAAAAUAAAUAAAUUAUUUGUACAAAAUAAAUGUCAGAUUGCACUAAAACCCGGACCAAUAGAUUUACCCAUUACACCCGAGCCUAAAGCCCAACAUGUGUUUGAUAAUAUAAAACAAAGAAGACAAAACUUAUCAUACUUUGCGUGGUUUUCUACUUGAAAUGAUUCAUUGCCACCAAUUACAUGCAAUGACUUAAUGCUUAGAAGGACAGAGGUCAUUUCCCUGUGACAAAAUAAGAAACACAAGUCAAACCACCAAGAAUAUAACUUCUCAUAAGCAUGCAAAUAUAGGAAUAUUACAUAGGAAAAACAAAAUCACUGUGUCACCACUCCUGCUGCUUAAAUUAAGGAAUUGCAAUGUUGUAUGAUCCAAAAUUAGUUUGCAACAUCAAUCUUUUCAAAAUAUAAAGACUAUAGCUUCAAAAGGAUAUGUUUACCUGUUGACUUUAAUACAUGAAUUCCGACACAGUCACCAAGAUUUUCUUCUGUUUCUUUUCCCAUAUUUUUUGAACUUGUCAACCCAUUUGUUUCCCAACUCAUUCUGUUGUUCCAAUAGGGUCGGAAGCGUGUAAAUUAUUGUACUAAAAAAUCACACAAAGUUCAAUUCCCAGGGAAGAGAGGUGGAUCACAUGGAUCUCUUAAAUACCAAGUCUUUCCUUAGUCAGAAUAUCCCUUCUAUAGUAAUUUAAUAGCACAAUUAAAUACUACUAUUAUACCCUAAAAUAUUGAAAGAAAAAUAGGACAAGAAAGAACACAAGAGUUUUAACGAGGUUCGGUAAAUUAUACCUACGUCCUCGGGCACUAACACUAGAUGAUAACUUUACUAUCUCCAAAAUAUUACAAACAAAUAGAAUUCCUUAAGAAUUCUCAAAUGGGAGAAGAGAGAAAACUAAGAGAGAAAGAUUGGUUGGGAUGGUUGAAAUGAGAAAUGGUUAGGCCUAUUUGAGGUUCAGGGACUAACUUGCAAAUGGCCUAAAAAAUUAGGGACCAAAAUUGCAAUUAUCCCAUUCAACUUUAAACAACUUGCCUAUCACUUUUUUCUUUCGGUGCCACUUGCACCUCCCAUUUUUGACUUUUCAACAAUCUCCACCUUGAAGAUUUGAUUAGGAUAAUCACAUCUUCACACACUUCCUUCAACUCCCCAAAUUAGAUAAAGCUAUCUUUUGUAGCGCCUCCAAAUGCGCUCUCGAGCGCCAUACACCUAAAGGUGCUCAAAUUCUCAGGAUGUUAAUCAAGUUCAAACAAUGAUUAAACUUGAUUGUUGUUACCACCUUGGUCAUCAUAUCUGCGGGAUUAUCUGCUGUCGGAAUCUUCUGAAGUAGAAUUUUUCCUUUUUCAAAGACUUCCCGCACAAAGUGAUAUCAAACAAUUUUACACCAUAAAUAAUUUUGACCUGUCACCAGUAUACACACAGGUCAAAUUAAUACAAAUACAUAAGAGCUCAAAAAUAACACUAAAAACAAACAAUUGUUGGAUUUAUUAGUAGAGAAUUGGAUUUUUAAUUCUAAUGAUUAAAUAUCAAACUCAAACAACUUCAAAUAUAUAUACAUAAAGGAUGUUAUGAAACACUCAUAAAAAUCAUCAAAAAUAAAUGAGACGGAGAUAAUUUACUGAAGGAUAAGAUGAAAUGGGUUUUAGAAUUAACAUUUAUUUUUCUUUGGCAUGCAACCUAAUGUUCAAGUCUUUUUACCCAUUAAUGAGUACUGCUAAAUCCCAACUUAUAAAUAUGUUAUGAUCUACCAACGGAUUUAAUUAAAUCCAACACCCCAAAUUAUGGGCUCAACUCUAAAUUCAAGAUUUGGCGUUGCAUGCGAAAUGUUAAGUCUUUUCCCGAUCCUUACUAUAUGAAAACAAUGGUUUACCACUUUGUUUAAGUCAAGUCAUUAUAAACACAAAAAUAAAGCAUUUGUGUUAGCUGGUUGAGAUAGAUUGAUGGGAAUAUGGAGUGAAAAUUAUGAUGACCACACAAUUUCAUGUUUAAUGUCCAUCAGAUAUGGCUUUCAUGUUUGCUGGCUGUGAAGGAGGAUUGUUUCUAUACAACUUAUUUAUACACAAAUUAGUACUUUCCAUACAUUAUUUUUAAAUUUGGACUAAGCCCGAUCACUACUGCAUCAAAAUAAUGUUGUACCACUAAUUUUAUUUUAGUCAAUUAAUAAAAAAAAUGGAAUAGUGGUGAUUUUUUUUAACUGAUUGAGAUAGAUUGAUGGCUCAAAGAUUAAAUUUUCUCAUAACUUUGAUGACUUUUCAAUGAACUUAAAGUGUACGGAAUCAAUAGAAAAUUAUGGAAUGAGAUAUUAUUGGACUUAGUCUUAGCCUUUUGGCACUGCAUGCAAAUGUCUAAAUCUUUUCUACCCCAUCAAAACAAUGUUUAGCAAUUGUUUCUUAGGUAGUUGAGAUGGAUUGAUGGGCACAAGUUGUGGAAAUUUUGAUGAUAAUGUUUAUAGUUUCCUCUUCUUAGUAAUUUCUUUGAAAGAAACAUAUUUAAAUUUUCACAUUAAUAUUUUUUUAGAUUUAAUUGAAUUUAUCAAAGACAAAUUAAUGAGACUAACGAGAUGUCUUAUAUUAUUAACAAUUUUUUAAUUCUUUGAAAAACUAAUUUGAAUUUCAAAAGUUUUUUUUUUCAAUUUCAAAAUGCUACAAAUCAAACAAAUCAGGAAUAAAAAUUUAAUUUCCAUCCUCCUCCUAUUAGGAAGGGAUAGAGAUAACGUGAAUAAAGAGAAUGGAUUGUAUGAAACUAUAAUUUCAUGUCAUCCUAACAAAUCACAUUUUUUUCUCCUAAUUUUCAACUUUUUCCUCUUGGAAAAAUUCAAAUCCAAUUAAAAAUGCUACAAAUCAGACAAAUUAGGAAUAAAAAUCUAAUUUGUCAUUCUCCACUUAUUAAAAAGAGACAAAAAUAACGUGAAAUUACAGUUUUAUAUCAUUCUUUCCCUUAAAUAAAUUCUUUUAAAUGUUUUACAAUGAUAAAAUUGUCCCUUGAAUAAACUCUUAUAAAUGUUUUACAAUAAGAGAAUUGAUUAUUUUUAUUAAUAUCACAUAUUUAUUUCUAAUGUUUUAGAUUGUUUGCCAAUACUAAAAACCACACCACACUAUAAAGAAUCAUUAUUUUCAUAUAUUUUAAUUUUUAUCAUAAUUUACUUUUGUCUACAUCCAAAGGGUUAAUUCCUUAAAUUAUGGACUAAAUUUUAAAUUGAUCUCUAUAUUUUAAAAAAUAAUUAAUUAAGUCCUCAAACAAUAAAUCACAUUCUAAUUUGAAAUUUUUAAUUUUGGACUAACAAAGAAAAUAUUAGUGUGAGAUAUUGUUGGCCUUUGGCUAACAUUGGAAAGCAUACUAGAUUUUAAGACAUAAUUUAUUUCAUUAAAUUUUAAUUAUUAUUUUUAUUUUUAUCAUAUAAUUAUCUAAUUCAAUCAUAUUUUUGAAAUUAAUAAAACUAUCACUGAAACAAUAAAUAAACUAGUAUAAAAAUAAGUGUCUAGCUGAACUAAAACCCGGACCAACAUGUCUAUCCUUUACACCCGAUCCUAAACCCCAACACGUGAUUGAUAAAAUAUAAAGCUAAUGUCUCUUUGGAAGAGCAAAGGGUGGGAGUAGCAGCAUCUGCGUCUCUUUACACAAUCGGUCCAAUGUCCAUCAAAAAAAGCUUUCAUCAGCAUCAAGCCAUCAAAUCUCCUCAGCUGUUAGGCUCAUUAUUAGGAUCACUGCCUAGAUUAUUCAUGUACCUCAAUGGUAACAUAAAAUUACAAGUACGGUAUGAUAGUGAACUUGGUAAAUAUAUAUAUAUAUAUAAAUCAACAACUAUCUGUUCAAAUUAGAAUGACAAAUGCUUACCAGCUACUUUUGAAGCAAGAAUUCUGAUGGAGUCACCUACAUCUUCUUCUAUUUCUUUUUCCACACUUUUUGAACUUGUCAACCCAUUUGUUUCCCAACUCAUUUAGCACUGUAUAUCCAAUACAUAGCCCAACGACUAAUCCACUAGCAUAACCUAUCAACGCAAUUUUCCAAGUAGACAGAGCAUAAAACCAUGAAUCUCCAUCUUCCCCUGGAGGUGGUGGCAUUGGAAGACCAACUUCAUUGCAUUUCUUGGACAAUGGUGGACCGCAUAAUUUUGGAUUCCCACGGUGAGAAUCAUUUGAAAAUGUACUGAAUUGGUUGCCUUGCGGUAUGCUCCCUUCAAGUGGGUUGUAAGACAAAUUCAAUGCCUCUAGGAAAGUUAGAGUUGUAAGCUGUGGAGGAAUCUUCCCUGAAAGUUUGUUUUGUGAGAGAUCCAAAGAUUCGAGGUCUUUUAGAUUGAAGUGCUAAUGGGAUUUCACCAGAGAAGCCAUUGUUGGAUAAGUUCAUCACUCUGAGUGACCUCAGCAUUUGUAUCUCUUCUGGUAUUCUCCCAUGGAAACUAUUGUUGGAAAGGUCAAGACAAGUAAGAACAGUUAAGAUUUUUGGUAAAAUAGUUCAACCCCCCUGUUAACAAUUGUCACAGAGUCUUUAUAAUAGACGUCCCCAAUGUAAACCCGCUUAGCCUUUUCAUCAUUAGUCAUCUUCGCCAUUGCCUUCAAACUCUGCAAAAAUUCAAUGGACAAGUCACCUGAAAAAUUGUUGGAAGCAAUGUCCAAUAUGCGUAGCUUUGGAAACCCACAUUCCGUGUCGAUUUUUGAAAUUGUGCCGUAGAAUCUGUUUGCUCGCAAAACGAGAACCUUCAAGGAAGGUAGCUUCUCUAACCAAAAUGGGAAUGUAUCAUGAACCAUAUUAUUUCCCAGGUCCAGAACCUCAAGUGCUGUGCAAUUGGCUAAUGAUCUCGACAGCUCCCCGUCCAAUUUAUUCCCAGCUAUUUUGAGUAACCCUAGUCGAGUGGGUUGAAGGAAAUCAAUGGAUAGUUCACCAGAAAACUGGUUUGAAGCAAUGUCCAAUACAUCCAAAGUUGGGAAAACAGAUUUAUGUUUGAAAUGUUUAAUUUGACCAUAAAAUCUAUUUUCCCGCAAUAUUAGAACCGUCAAGUAAGGCAAUUUCUCCAACCAAAAAGGGAAUGUAUCAUUCAUCUUGUUGUUUCCCACGUCCAAAACUUCAAGCUGAGUGCAUUCAGCUAAUGAUCUGGGCAACUUCCCUUCCAGUCUAUUCUCACUAAUUUUGAGAAUUUGUAGUUUGGUUGCUUUUGAAAAUUUUGGUAACAUUCCACUGAAGUUAUUUCCUUGCAGAUUCAAGAAAUAGCAUUCAUUUUGCCUAAGCAAUUUGGAAUUGGGCCACUCAAAUUGUUACAAGAUAGACCGAAACUGCCAAAUUGACUCAUAUUGCCCAAGCAAUUUGGAAUUGACCCACUCAAAUUGUUAGAAGAUGCAUAAAAACUGCCAAGUUGACUCAUAUUGCAUAACCAAUUUGGAAUUGGGCCACUCAAAUUGUUAUAAGAUGCGUCGAAAUAGAAAAAGCCUCGUGAAAAAGUUGAAAGGUCCAAAGAUGAGAGAUGGUUAUUAGCAAGAGACAGAUACCGCAAACUUUUUUUCCACACCCUGUUUGGUAUUGCACCACUUAUUUUAUUAUUUGAAAGGUCCAGAAAUUAUUUUUGACUCUUUAAGAACUCCGGAAACGCACUUAUGUUACAGGAUCCCAGAUACAAUCGCCUCAACAUUGGGAAAGAGAAGUUUGCAUCACUUAAGGGAAGUUGUUUUGGAAAAUCAAUCAUAUUGAAAGAAAGGUACACCUGUGAAAGAGUGCUCUUCCACAACCAAUUAGGCACAAUACCAUGGAUAUGGUUGUUAGAAAGUUCCAGAGAAAUCAACUUGUCUUUUGUUUUGAUGAAUUCUGGGAAUUCAGUAAGGUUGCAUGAACUUAGCCUUAGGCUUUCUAAUAGGGGAAAAGUAAGACUUAUGUUGUCACUUUCAAUUAAGAAGCUUAUAUUGUUUAGCGAGAGAGUCCUUAAGUUCUUGAGUUGGACACACAUGUCAAGCUUCAUGGAACUGAAGCUAUUACCUUCGAUAUAAAGCCAUUCAAGCCGUGGAAGUUGAAGGAUUGACUUUGGGAUUGGUCCUGUUAAAUAAUUAUUGCCUAUAUAUAGUACUUCAAUCAAAGAAGAAGAUGCAUUGGGGAACUCAUUAAUUUUCCCAACCAAUUGAUUGUCUCCAUGAUGCAGGAUCUUCAACGAUGGAAGAGUGAAUAAAGAAGAAUGUAUUGAUCCAAAAAGCUUGAUCCCAUCCAAAUUGUGAUUUACAAGAUUAGGAACUCCAAAUCUAUGAAACAAAGGGGUUAAACCACUGAAAUUAUUAUAUCUUAGAUUCAAGUUCACGAGGUGACUAAGAUUUGCAAUUGACGAUGGAAUGGGUCCAAAAAAGUUGCAAGAAGAAAGAUGUAAAUUUGUCAGGAACUUAACAUUACCAACCAAUUCAAGUAGUUUUCCACUGAAAUUUGUAAAAGAAAGCGACAAACUCUGUAAAGCAUUGUUUGCUGGAAAUUCUGGCAACUGACCCAUAAGUUGGCCAUUGCCUGAAAUGUCAAUGCUUUGAAUUUUUGGCAAUAAGAGAAUUCCGGUUGGAAAAUGCCCACGCAAAUUACAGUACCUCAAACUGAGAGAAACCAAACGAGAGGAAGUUUCCAAGAAAUUGGGAGGUAAAUAAGAGAUUGGGUUCCCACCAAGGAUAAGUUUGGAAAGAAAAGAGAGUCUUGAGAGAGAAGAACAUAAUGGACCUUUCAAACCACAGCUUGACAGACUCAACACAUGCAGGUUUGGAAGUACAAGAGAUGUGGUUUCACACCAUUUAGCACUUUGAGUUGAAAUGUCCACACUAUCCAAAUAAAGCGCUGUGAGAAACCUCAAAUUCUUGAUUAAUGUCUUGAAGUUUGGAUUCUCUAAUUUAAGAGGCUGUUGAGGUUUGUAAUAGUUGUAGAAGGCAGGGUACAGAACUUUGUAAUAUCUCAAAUAACAAGAAUCUUGAUUGGAUAGAUCAAGAGAGACUAACCUAUUUAAGAAUGAGAUCUCCACUGGAAUUUGGCCAUGGAAACAUGAGCUUGAAAGGUUGAGAUGAGUUAGAUUUUGGAGUUUAUCAAACCCAUAGGAAAACAGAGUGGUAUUAAAGUUGUUUCCAGCAAGAUUCAGGUGUUGAAGAUGAUGGAGAUCGAAUAUGGAGUGGAAGCUGCCUGAAAGGUUUUUGUAACUAAGAUCAAUGCCAACGACAUGACCAUAAGCAUCACAAGUGACUCCUUCCCAAGAACAACAAUCAGUGUUGACAUCCCAGAGGUCAAAAUUGGAAGAGAAAGUAAAAUUAGGGGCACAGUAAAGAUGACGCUGCAAUUGCAGCAGAGGAGCUCUCUGGUCAUCAAGGCAUUGCUGAGGGAGAUGAGUUUGAGGAGGUGAAAAAGACAAGACAAGAGAAAGGAAGCAUGAGAAGAGGAAGGGUGAAAUAAGGAAAUGAAGAGUGUUCAUGUUGGUUGGGUGUGAAGAAGGAUUGUGCUUGGCAUACAACUUAUUUAUACACAAAUGUGUAGUUUUCAUGUUUGGCAUAUAACUUAUUUAUUAUUAGUAUUAUUAUUAUUAUCCCAUGCUUGCAAAGGUUGACCAAAAAGACUUAACUAAAGUGGUGGAACAUUAUUUUGAUGCAGUAUUGAUUGGGCAAAAAGACUUCGAAAUUGCAUGCUAUGCCAAACAUGAAAACUACACAUUUGUGUAUAAAUAUUAGACAUAUUAGAGGGAUUGAAACUGAAAUUUAACAUUUUAUUGUAAAUUUUUUUUUUAAAAAAAAGAUAAAGGAAAGGAAAGGAAAUAAAUUAUAGAUUAAAUCUCAAAUUUAGGCAUAUUAAAGAAACUAAAUUUUAAAUUUUUUUGUAAAAUGUAAAAUUAAAAAAGAAAAGGAAAAAUGAUUGGGUAUGCGACAUGUAAAAAGAAAGAAGGUCGAAACCAAUUUUUAUAUAUAAGUAUAUAGAUUAUAUAUAAUUAUUCUUACAUAAUUUAAUUUUUUUAAUAAAAAUUACUAUUAAAAUCUUUUAAUUAAAUUUUGGUAUAACACCCAAAAGAAUUAAUUUAUAUACCAAACUAAUUUAUAAAUGAGUACUUUUAAGUCCUAAUUUAUGAAACAGUACCAAACUUAUAAAUAUGCUAUGACCUAUUGAAGGGUUUAAUUAAAUUUAACACCCCAAAUUAUAAGUUGCAUCAUUCUAAAUUUAUCUCUAAACUUCAAAAACUUUUAACUAAAUAAUAGUAAAAUAUAUUGUUGGUCUUAGUCUUAGUUUUAAUAUUUGGGAUUGCAAGCGAAUUUCUAAGUCUUAGUAUAAGAAUAGAAUGUUAUUAACCUUAGUCAUGAAAAUAAUGUUUCUACCACUUUUCUUAACUGAUUGAGAGACAUUGAUGGGUCAAAGACUAAAUUUUGUUGGUGACUUCUCAAUGAACUUGUCCAAGUGUAUCAAAUCAAUAGAAACACAAUGAAACUAAAUAAUGGUUUGGUUUGAGGAAAAUAUAAGCUAUUCUUAGUCUUUGCUUUCAUUUGCACAAUGUUUGGCACUUUUCUUAUCAUAUUUGAACUUCACUCCAUAUGUUUGCUUUCAAUUUAAAACCAUAUUUAUUAUGUGGAUUAAAUCAUAGUAUUGUUAUUCAAAUUUAAAAUAAAGAAAUUAUUUCUCAAGGUAUCUAGUUGGUAAGUAAAUAUUUGCAUUUUGUUAGCCCAUUUACAGAGUAGAUGCCAUAGUUUUAAAAGUUGCUUCACAAUUAAGCCGAGGAUCGAAUCCUCGACCACGGAUUAAGGUAAGAAAGACUCUUACCAUCUCAUCUAACUCUAGUUAUUAAAAUUAAAAUUAAUUUGAAUACCAUAAAUUCAAAUAUUAAUAUUUACAUCUAUUCCAAAUUCAUUAUACAUAAUAAUUAAAAUAUUCAAAUCUAAAUAUUAUCAAAAUUCGUACUCUGGUGAUUAAAAUAUUUGUAUCCUAUUAGUCAUAUUAAUUAUGAUAUUUUCGUCAUUUUGCUUCAUCUUUAUUCUAUUAUGAUAUUUUCAUACUAUUAAUCAUAUUUGAUGUUCGCGAUUUAUUGAUAUAAAAUUUUUAGACAUUAAAUGAUGUUAUUAUUCUAAAUAUAUGCAAGCUCGACUUUGAAGUCCAACCUAUUUUAAACAUCUUUCCUUGUUGAUUGUGGAGAAUGGACCGUGAUUGCAUUGAAAAUACCAUUGAAGAAUAAUAAUUAAAAUAAUCAUAUUUUAUACUAUAAAAUAUUUAUUAUUGAAUAUUUAUAAAUUAUAUAUAUUUUUCUCAUUAAAAUAUCAAUAUAAAUAUUUUUUAAUUAUAUAUUAAGAAUAUUAUUUAAAAUUAAAUUAAAUUAUUAAAAUUUAUUAAUAAAAUAAAAUUAUAAUAUUAAAAUUAAAAAUAUAUUAUUAAUAUAAUUAUAUUAAACUUGAUUCAAAUUAAUUUUGUAUAUAAAGAUAAAAAUAUUCAUAAAUAAGCUUUGUUCGAUAAAUUAAUUACGUUUUCCAAAAAGUCAAAUUAAUUUACAGAAAAAUGAUAUUAUUUAAAUUUCCAUACUAAAAUACUUUUAAAUUUAAUUAAAAUUAUCAAAGACGAAUGAAAUUCAUGAAAUUAAUUUAACAACUUUUCAAUUUUUCGAAAAAAUCAAUUUGAUUCUUCUUCUUUUUUCAAAAUUUAUCAAGCCAAUUGAAACACAAAAAAAUUUAAUAUUUUUAAUUUUUGACUGACAAAAAAAAUGAUACUAUGAGAUAUUUUUUAUAUUAUUAGACCUAAUCUUAAUCUUUGGCAUUCCAUGCAAAUGUCUAAAUCUUUUUGCCCCUUUACUACGGCAUUAAAACAAUGUUUAGCAAAUUUCUUAGGGAGAUGGAUUGAUGGAUAUAAGUAGUGGAAAUUUUGAUGAUACAAUUCUUCUCUUCUUAACAAUUUCUUUCAAAGAAACAUAUUUAAAUUUCCACACCGAAACUUCUUUAAUUUAAAGGAAUAAAUCUUAAAAUUAUAAACUAUGUGUUAAUGUGUAAUUGUAUACAUGAAUUUUGAUUUUAUGCAAUGUUAUACAUGAAAUUUUGAUUUGAUUCAAUUCUUGUAAUUUAUUAACACAAUUAUUGAUAUAACAACAUUUUAUGUCUAUAUAUUGUAUACAUAAAUAAUUAUAUUUAUCUAAUAUAAAAAUAAAUUGAUGUUUUUAUUUCAUUAAAUGUGUAUGAUUAAAUCAAAAUUAAAAUUUGAAUUAUACAUUUGAACCACAAUUAGAGUUCCACGUGUAUGAUUACACCAAACUAAAGUUCAUAUAUAUAAUUGCACAUUAAAUUAAAGUUUAUAUAUAAUUUUAAGUUUUAUCCCUAUUUGAAAUUAUCAAAGACAAAUGAGAUUAACGAGAUGUAUUAUAUUAUAAACAAAGUUCGAUUCUUUGAAAAAGUUAAGCUCCAAUUUCAGAAGUUUUUUUUUCCAAAGUUUAUCAAACGAAUUCAAACACUAUGAGAUUAAACAACAUAUAAUUUUUUAAAUCUAAAAUAUGGAUUUUUUUUCUUUUUUAAAUCUAAAGUCAGUUCCAAUUUUCUAGUGUUUUAGAUUGUUUACUAACACUAAAAAGCACACCACAUUGUAAGGCAUCAUUUCUUUCAUUGUAUUUUUUUUUUUUACGUAGACACCAAAAUUUCAUCGGGAUACAAAUCAGCACUUUGUGGUAAACUCAAUUUAACUCAAUUUUAAUUGUAGCAAAGCUUUUAACCGGGGGCUCUUUUUCCACCAUUUUUCUUCUAACACUUUCGGCUCCCAGCACUCUGGAGGCAUCCUCCAUCACUGAACAUUCUUCACUCACCUUCAUCAUUGCCACCACCAACCACAUCAGCAUCAGAAUCAACAUAAUCAUCUUCAUCUCAGUCACCUCUCUCACCUCUAACCCAUACCAACAUUUUUAGGGUACAAAAUUGUGCUCCAAGACACAAGCAUAGUGACACCUGAGAAUCAUCCAAUUCAUCUUCAUGUAUACGAUUUCUAUAUCAUUGCACAACGUUUAAAGAACUUCGAUCCUAAAAGGGAUACUUCUAAAUUCAACCUUGUUGAUCCACCUGUGAGGAACACCGUUGGAGUGCCUGUGAAUGGAUGGGCAACCAUCAGAUUCGUCGCUGAUAAUCCAGGUAAACACCCUUCUUCAUCAUUUCAAUUACUGUGAUUCCAUUACCAAUUUUUUACUUGUUAUUAGUAUUUUUCUUAAUCAUUUUCAUAGUAUUGUGGCAUACCAAUUCUUCCCUGCAUCUGGGAAACUAGUUUAAUGCUCUGUUUCAUUGGAUAAAUUUCCCUAAAAAGUAUGUGUACAUUGUAAUAAUAGUGUGAGAUAGUGUCGGCCUUUGGCUAACAUUGGAAAACAUACUAGAUUGUAACACAAAAAUUCUUUCAUUAUAUUUUAAUUAUUAUUAUCAUAUUAUUACAUACAAAGUUUAAUUGAAUGGUAAUUUUUAACGUAAUAAUAUUAUCAUUGAAAGGAUAAAUAGACUAAUAUAAAAACAAGUGUCAAGCUGCACUAAAACCCGGACCAACGGGUCCACCCUUUACACCCAGACCUAAAGCAUAAGACGUGAUUGAAAAAUGCUUGUAGUCAUAAGAAACUAAUUACCAUUUUCUUCAAAGAUAACGUACCUCCUGACUGGAUAUUCCAUGUCCUGUGCAUUGCUAAAUGAUACAUAAAAUUACAAUAGAAUCUGGAAAAUGAAUGUCAAUGCUACGAGUAGGAUAUGAUAGAGAAAUUUACUUUUCAACAACUAUAUAUAUCAACUACCUUUUCAAAUUAGAAAGACUAAUGCUUAAUUAGACUAAUGCUUAAUUACCAGCUAAUUUUGAAACAAGAAUUCUGAUGGAGUCACCUACACCUUACCUUAAACAUGAUAAUGCUGGCAAUUAUGGUGAACGUUGUGAACAUGACAUAGUAAACAGGACAUACAACAGUAGUAUGAAAAGUGUCUAAAGCAUGCAAAAUUGUAAGCUUUUAGUAGCAUCAAGAAUAAUAACAACUUAAAUUUAGAGUCAAUCAUCAUAUUAAAUCAAGAAUAUAAGUUGAAAGAAAUUAUUUUUUUAAAAAACACAUUUAUGCUUUUUUAUCCUAUAAGCAAUUUAAUAAUGAACAAAUUGAUCUCUCAACAAAAAUUACAAAAUAUUUCAAAAUAGUUUUUAAAAUUCAAAAUAUUUAUAAAAAAAUUAAAUUAUAUUUAUUUUUUCAAUUGUAAGAAUAUUUUUAUUAUUUUGUUUUGAAAAAGUUUUCAAAUGUAUAUAGUUUUAAAUUUAUGUGCUCUAACAUUGAAUUAGUUAUCCUAUAACAAGAUUUUAAUUUGACAUAUUUAAUUUUUUAAUUGAACUUGAAUAAUUUCACUCGAUUCAAUUUGACUCGAAUUUUAUUUCACUCGACUCAAUUCGAAAAAAUGUCAAAUCAAGUUAGGAUGAUAAAUAGGACUCAUUAGUUCAAUUAACUCAAAAAAUUUUCACUUGAUUCGAUUAAACACUCAUAAAAAUCAUCAAAAAUAAAUGAGACGGAGAUAAUUUGCUGAAGGAUAAGAUGAAAUGUGUUUUAGAAAUUAACAUUUUUUUUCUUUGGCAUGCAAGCUAAUGUUCAAGUCUUUUUACCCAAUAAUGAGUACUCCUAAAUCCAACUUAUAAAUAUGUUAUGAUCUACCAACGGGCUUAAUUAAAUCCAACACCCCAAAUUAUGGGCUCAACUCUAAAUUCAAGAUUUGGCAUUGCAUGCAAAUGUCUAAGUCUUUGCCCGAUCCUUACUAGAUGAAAACAAUGGUUUACCACUUUGUUUAAGUCAAGUCAUUAUAAACACAAAAAUAAAGCAUUUGUGUUAGCUGGUUGAGAUGGAUUGAUGAGUGAAAAUUAUGAUGACCACACAAUUUCUGCGAAACUUCGAUUGGUACAAAAUAAGUGCGAGGCUGUACCAAAACCCAACAUGUGUUUGAUAAAAUAAAAACCCAAUGUGUCAGCAAAAGGUGGGAGUAGCAGCAGCAGCUGUCUCUUUACACAAUCAGUACAAUGUCCAUCAGAUAUGGCUUUCAUGUUUGCUGGCUGUGAAGGAGGAUUGUUUCCAUACAACUUAUUUAUACACAAAUUAGUUCUUUCCAUACAUUAUUUUGAAUUUUGGACUAAGCCCGAUCACUACUGCAUCAAUGUUGUACCACUAACUUUAUUUUGGUCAAUUAAUAAAAAAAAAUGGAAUUGUGGUGAUUUUUUUUAGCUGAUUGAGAUAAAAUGAUGGCUCAAAGACUAAAUUUUCUCAUAACUUUGAUGACUUUUCAAUGAACUUAAAGUGUAUGGAAUCAAUAGAAAUUUAUGGAAUGAGAUAUUAUUGGACUUAGUCUUAGCCUUUUGGCACUGUAUGCAAAUGUCUAAAUCUUUUUUACCCCAUCAAAACAAUGUUUAGCAAGUUUCUUAUGUAGUUGAGAUGGAUUGAUGGGCACAAGUAGCGGAAAUUUUGAUGAUAAAAUGUUUACAAUUUUCCUCUUCUUAGCAAUUUCUUUGAAAGAAACAUAUUUAAAUUUUCACAAUAAAAUUUCUUUAGAUUUAAUUGAAAUUAUCAAAGAAAAAUGAGAUUGACAAGAUAUCUUAUAUUAUUAACAAUUUUUCGAUUCUUUCAAAAAAUUAAUUUCAAUUUCAAAAGUUUUUUGAAAUUAAUAGAACUAUCAUUGAAAGGAUAAACAAACUAGUAUAAAAAUAAGUGUCCGGCUGAACUAAAACUCAGACCAACAGGUCCACCCUUUACACCCGGUCCUAAAGCCCAACACGUGAUUGAUAAAAUAUAAAGCUAAUAUCUGUUUGGAAGAGCAAAGGAUGAGAGUAGCAGCAUCUGCGUCUCUUUACACAAUCCGUCCAAUGUCCAUCAGAUAUGGCUUCCAUCAACAUCAUGCCAUUAAAUCUCCUCAGCUGUACAAAUAUUCUGAAGAUAAAAUAAUUGAAGUAAAAGUAAAUUGCAUAUAAAAGAAAGCUUGGGCAGCCAUUUCCUUGUUUAUAAUAUCAUUAUUAGCAUGGAAAUUCAGUAGCAGUGAAACAUUGCAUCCCCCAAAUCCACAGGGACCUGGAUGCAAAAUGAAUAAACACUAAUAUAUACUCAUGGAAAACUACAAAAGGAAAAAAGUGCAUAUAAAGCAAAAUUACAAACCAGUGGAUUGAUCUUGUUAGGAUCAUUGCCUACAUUCUUCAUGAACCUCACAACUGUACAUUCCAUGUCCUGCUUCAAGUACCUCCUGCAUUGCUCAAUGGUAACAUCAAAUUACAAGUACGAUAUAAUAGUGAACUUGGUAAAGACAGCAAAAAAUGAGGUUAUAUAUAUAUAUAUAUAUAUCAACUAUCUGUUCAAAUUAGAAAGACAAAUGCUUACCAGCUAAUUUUGAAGAAAGAAUUCUGAUGGAGUCACCUAUAUCUUCUGCUAUUUCUUUUCCCACACUUUUUGAACUUGUCCACCCAUUUGUUUCCCAACUCAUUCAGCACUGUAUAUCCAAUACAUAGCCCAACGACUAAUCCACUAGCAUAACCUAUCAACGCAAUUUUCCAAGUAGACAGAGCAUAUAACCAUGAAUCUUCAUCUUCCCCUGGAGGUGGUGGCAUUGGAAGACCAACUUCAUUGCAUUUUCUUGACAAUGGCAGCCCACACAAUUUUGGGUUCCCACGGUAGGAAUCAUUUGUAAAUGUAAUGAAUUGGUUGCUUUGUGGUAUGCUCCCUUCAAGUUGGUUGUAUGACAAGUUCAAUGCUUCCAGGAAAGUUAGACUUGUAAGUUGUGGAGGAAUCUUCCCUGACAGCUUGUUUCUUGAGAGAUCCAAAGAUUCGAGGUCUUUUAGAUUUUGAAGUGCUAAUGGGAUUUCACUAGAGAAGCUAUUGUUGGAUAAGUUCAUCACUCUGAGUGACCUCAGCAUUUGUAUUUCUUCUGGUAUUCUCCCAUGGAAACUAUUGUUGGAAAGGUCAAGACAAGUAAGAAUUGCCAAGACUUUUUGGUAGAACAUUUCAAUCCCUUUGUUAACAAUUGUCACAGAGUCUUGAUAAUAAUUCUCUCCGAUAUAAUUCAGCUUAGCCUUUUCGUCAUUAGUCAUCUUCGCCAUUGCCUUCAAACUCUGCAAAAAUUCAAUGGACAAGUCACCUGAAAAAUUGUUGGAAGCAAUGUCCAAUAUACGUAGCUUUGGAAACCCACAUUCCGUGUCGAUUUUUGAAAUUGUACCGUAGAAUCUGUUUGCUCGCAAAACGAGAACCUUCAAGGAAGGUAGCUUCUCUAGCCAAAAUGGGAAUGUAUCAUGAACCAUAUUAUUUCCGAGGUCCAGAACCUCAAGUGCUGUGCAAUUGGCUAAUGAUCUCGACAGCUUCCCUUCCAAUUUAUUCCCACCUAUUUUGAGUGACCUUACUCUAGUGGGUUGAAGGAAAUCAAUGGAUAGUUCACCAGAAAACUGGUUUGAAGCAAUGUCCAAUACAUCCAAAGUUGGGAAAACAGAUUUAUGUUUGAAAUGUUUAAUUUGACCAUAAAACCUGUUUUCCCGCAAAAUGAGAACCUUUAGCGCAGGCAAUUUCUCCAACCAAAAAGGGAAUGUAUCAUUGAUCAUGUUGCUUCCUACAUCCAAAACCAUAAGUUGAGUGCAUUUUGCUAAUGAUCUGGGCAACUUCCCUUCCAAUCUAUUCUCACUAACUUUCAGAAAUUGCAGUUGGGUUGCUUUUGAAAAUUUUGGUAUCAUUCCACUGAAGUUAUUUCCUUGCAAACCCAACCAACUCAGAGCACUCAUAUUGCCCAAGCAAUUUGGAAUUGGGCCACUCAAAUUGUUAUAAGAUACAUCGAAACUGUAAAGUUGACUCAUAUUGCAUAACCAAUUUGGAAUUGGGCCACUCGAAUUGUUAUAAGAUGCAUCUAAACCGCUAAGCUGACUCAUAUUGCAUAACCAAUUUGGAAUUGGGCCACUCAAAUUGUUAUAAGAUGCAUCUAAACCGCUAAGCUGACUCAUAUUGCAUAACCAAUUUGGAAUUGGGCCACUCAAAUUGUUAGAAGAUGCGUCGAAUUCUUCUAAAUUUUCUUGACUCUUUAAGAACUCCGGAAAUGCACUUAUGUUACAAGAUUCCAGACGCAAUCGCCUCAACAUUGGGAAAGAGAAGUUUGCAUCACUUAAAGGAAGUUGUUUUGGAAAAUCAAUCACAUUGAAAGAAAGGUCUAAGGAUAAAAGACUGCUCUUCCACAACCAAUUAGGCACAACACCAUGGAUAUGGUUGCUAGAAAGAUCUAAGUCAACCAACUUGUCUUGUGUUUUGAUGAACUCUGGAAACGCACUUAUGUUACAGGAUGUCAAACGCAAGUCUUUCAACAUUGGAAAUGAAAAGUUUGCAUCAUUUAAGGGAAGCUGUUUUGGAAAAUCAAUCAUAUUGAAAGAAAGGUCUACCCAUGAAAGACUGCUCUUCCACAACCAAUUGGGCACAAAACCAUGGAUAUGGUUGUUAGAAAGAUCUAAGCCAACCAACUUGUCUUGCCUUUUAAUGAAUUCUGGAAAUUCAGUAAGGUUGCAUGACCAUAGCCUUAGUGUCUCUAAUUGGGGUAAAGUAAGACUUCUGUUGUCGCUUUCAAUUAACAAGCUUAUAUUGUUUAGCCAGAGAGUCCUUAAGUUGUUGAGUUGGACAAACAUGUCAAGCUUCAUGGAACUGAAGCUAUUGCUUUCAAUAUAAAGCCAUUCAAGCCUUGGAAGUUGAAGGAUUGACUUUGGGAUUGGUCCUGUUAAAUAAUUAUUGCCUAUAUAUAAUUCUUGAAUCAAAGAAGAAGAUGCAUUGGGGAACUCAUCAAUUUUCCCAACCAAGUGAUUUUCUCCAAGAUACAGGGUCUUUAAUGAUGGAAGAGUGAAUAAAGAAGAAUGUAUUGAUCCAGAAAGCAUGUUCCCUCCCAGAUAUAGGUUGACCAGGUGACUAAGAUUUGUAAUUGACGAUGGAAUAGGUCCAAAAAAAUUGCAAUAAGAAAGCUCUAAAUUUGUCAGGAACUUAAGAUUACCAAUCGAUUCAGGUAGUUUUCCACUGAAAUUUGUAUGAUAAAGUGACAGACUCAGUAAUGCAUUGUUUGCUGGAAAUUCUGGCAACUGACCCAUAAGUUGGUCAUUGCGUGAAAUGUCAAUGCUUUGAAUUUUUGGCAAUAAGAGAAUUCCGGUUGGAAAAUGCCCACGCAAAUUACAGUACCUCAAACUGAGAGAAACCAAACGAGAGGAAAUUUCCAAGAAAUUGGGAGGUAAAUAAGAGAUUGGGUUCCCAUCAAGGAUAAGUUUGGAAAGAAAAGAGAGUCUUGAGAGUGAAGAACAUAAUGGACCUUUCAAACCACAGCUUGACAGACUCAACACAUGCAGGUUUGGAAGUACAAGAGAUGUGGUUUCACACCAUUUAGUACUUUGAGUUGAAAUGUCGACACCAUCCAAAUAAAGCUCCGUGAGAAACUUCAAAUUCUUGAUAAAUGUCUUGAAGUUUGGUUUCUCCAAUUUUAAAGUAGCUGAAUUAUAAUCGUAACCAUUUCUCCAAUAGCAAUCAUCUUGAUAAGAUAGGUUCAGAGAGACUAACCUUGUUAAGAAUGAGAUCUUCAUUGGAAUUUGGCCAUGGAAACAUGAGCUUGAAAGGUUGAGAUGAGUUAGAUUUUGGAGUUUAUCAAACCCAUAGGAAAACAGAGUGGUAUUAAAGUUGUUUCCAGCAAGAUUAAGGUGUUGAAGAUGAUGGAGAUCUAAUAUGGAGUUGAAGCCGCCUGAAAGGUUUUUGUAACUAAGAUCAAUGCCAACAACAUGACCAUAAGCAUCACAAGUGACUCCUUCCCAAGAACAACAAUCAGUGUUGACAUCCCAGAGGUCGAAUUUGGAAGAGAAAGUAAAAUUAGGGGCAUAGUAAAGAUGAUGCUGCAGUUGCAGGAGAGGAGCUCUCUGGUCAUCAAGGCAUUGCUUAGGGAGAUGAGUUUGAGGAGGUGAAAAAGACAAGACAAGAGAAAGGAAGCAUGAGAAGAGAAAGAGUGAAAUAAGAAAAUGAAGAGUGUUCAUGUUUGUUGGGUGUGAAGAAGGAUUGUGCUUGGCAUGCAACUUAUUUAUACACAAAUGUGUAGUUUUCAUGUUUGGCAUAUAAAUAAUUUAUUAUUAGUAUUAUUAUUAUUAUCCCAUGCUGGAAAAGGUUGACCAAAAAGACAUAACUAAAGUGGUGGAACAUUAUUUUGAUGCAGUAUUGAUUGGGCAAAAAGACAUGGAAAUUGCAUGCUAUGCAUUUAUUAUUAGUAUUAGAAAUAAGUUGUUAAAUUCACUUAAUUUGCCUUGCGUCUUUUUUUUUUCUUUUUCUUUUUUUGUUAAUUUUAAUUUUGAAGAAUGAAAUUUUAAUAAGAAAACUAAAACCUUGGCAUUAAUAAGAAAAAUAAGAUGAAUAAAAUAUUAAAAUCUCAUUCUUCAAAAUUAAAAUUAACAAAAAAAAACCCAAGGCAAAUUAAGUGUAUAGAAUUUUCCACUUUUGAAAUAGACAUAUUUAAAUUUCAUCUUUAAAACUUUUCUAGAUUGUAUAUGGGUGAGAAAUUUGAAGAAAAUUUUUCAUUUCUACAUUAUUAUUUUAUUUUAAUAUUUUUUAUGUUUUAUAUUAUUAAAUAUUUUUAUAAUUCGAGUUUCAAAUUGAAUUUUACAAUUUAAAUAACUCGAAUACUUCAAACAAUAAAUUGAUGUACAUGCUCCUUUGGUCCCUGUUAAUUUUAAAAAUUAACAAAUUGAUCUCUCUCAACAAAAGUUUUCGAAAAACAAUAAUAAUAAUUUUUAAAAUCAAAAUAUUCAUAAAAUUUCAAACUUUAUACUAUGUAAAAACUAUAAUAAUUUUAAAUCAUAAUUGUUUUAAUUUGAAAUUUUUAAAAUCUUUAAUUUAGGACCAGAAAAAAUUGUAGCAUGAAACAUUAUAGACCUUUUAAGUCUUAAGUCUUUGGCAUUGCAUGCAAAUGUCCAAGUUUUUAUUGCACAAAAACAACGUUCAAUCAAUGUGUACAAGUCAAGUCACCUUAUAAAUUGAUGGACACAAUGAGUGGAAAUUUUGAUUAUAGAAUAUAUAGAAUUUUUCACUUUUGAAAGAAACAUAUUUAAAUUUCAUCUUUCAAACUUUCUUACAGGCGUGCGAAAUAUAAUUUUAUUUAAUUUUAAUAUUUUUAUGUUUUAAAUUAUUAAAAAUAUUUAUAAUUUGAGAUUCAAGUUAAAUUUUAUAAUUUAAAUAACUCGACUAAUUCAAACACAGAUUGAUAUAUAUACUCCUUUGAUUCUUGUCAAUUUUAAAAAUUAACAAAUUAAUCUUUCUCAACAAAAAUUACAAAAAAAUUAAAAUAAUUUUUAAAGUUAAAAUAUUCAUAAAAAUUCUAAAAUUUAUAUUAUAUAAAAACUAUAAUAAUUUUUAUUAUUAUUUCACUUUAAAACAGUUUUCAAAUAUUUAUGAUUUCAAAUAUUAAUUAUACUAUUACAAGAUUUUAGUUUGACAUGUUUAAUUUUUUAAUUUAAAUCAAACAAUUUAUAUAUUUUAAGUAUUGACCUUUUAGAAAAAAAUAUCCAUGUUACAAAUAUUUUAUCAUUAAAUUACUUGAAUUUUAUCAUUUUUAUGUUAUAUAUAAUUAUUUCUACAUCAUUUAAUUUUUUUAAAUAAAAAAAUUACAAUAUAAAUUUUUAACUAAAUUUUGUUAUAGCACCGAAAAUAUAAAAUUUAACUUAUAAUAUAAAAUCAAUUUGUUAAUGAAUAUCCAACUUGUAAAUAUGUAAUGAUUUAUCAAAUGGUUAAUUCACCUUACAUCUUAAAUGUAUACAUCGAAUUUUAAAUUGACCCCUAAUUUUAUAAUGUUUUAAUUAAGUUCUCAAAUUAUGAGUAACGUUUUAAUUUAAAAUUUUUAAAAUCUUUAAUUUUGGACCAGAACAAUUGAUAAUAUGAAAUAUUAUAGGCCUUUUAAGUCUUAAGUCUUUGGCAUUGCAUGCAAAUGUCCAAGUUUUUAUUGCACAAAGACAACGUUCAACCAAUGUGUACAAGUCAAGUCACCUUAUAGAUUGAUGGACUCAAUGAGUGGAAAUUUUGAUGAUAGAAUAUAUAGAAUUUUUCAUUUUUAAAAGAAUCAUAUUUAAAUUCUUUCAAACUUUCUUAGAGCGUGAGAAAUAUUUUCAUUUCUAUAUUAUUAUUUAAUUUUAAUAUUUUUUAUGUUUUAUAUUAUUAAAAAUAUUUAUAAUUCAAGAUUCGAGUUAAAUUUUAUAAUUUAAAUAACUCAAAUAAUUCAAAUAACAGAUUGAUAUAUAUACUCCUUUGAUUCUUGUCAAUUUUAAAAAUUAAUAAAUUAAUCUCUCUCAACAAAAAUUACAAAAAAAUUAAAAUAAUUUUUAAAAUCAAAAUAUUCUUAAAAAUUCUAAAAUUUAUAUUAUGUAUUUUUAAGGAAAUUUUGUUAUAGCACCAAAAAAAUUAAAAUUGAAAUUGUAAUAUAAAAUCAAUUUAUUAAUGAGUAUCAAACUUAUAAAUAUGUUAUGAUUUAUCAAAGGCUUAAUUCGCCUUACAUCUCAAAAUUAUACAUCAAAUUUUAAAUUAAGUUUCUAGAUUUCAUAAUGUUCUAAUUAAGUUCUUAAAUUAUAAAUAAUACUCUAAUUUGAAAUUCUUAAUAUCUUUAACUUUGGAUCGGGAAAAAUGAUAGUAUGAAAUAACUUAAGUCUUUGGCGUUGCAUGCAAGUGUCCAAAUGUCGAUUGCACAAAAACAACGUUCAACCAUUAUAUAGGCAAAAUUAUAGUAAAUUUGUUAGUUGAGAUGGAUUGAUGGAUACAAGGAGUGGAAAUUUUCUUAAAGUGUUUUUGGGGAAGUUUGGAGAAAGACUUUCAUUUUUACAUUAUUAUUUAAUUUUUAUUUAAUUUAAAUAUUUUUAUGUUUUAUAUUAUUAAAUAUAAAACAUAAAAUUAUUUAUAAGUCAAGUUUCGAAUUAAAUUUUACUAUUUGAAUAACUCGAAUAAUUUGAACAAUUCAUACAACAGAUUGGUACGCAUACUCAUUUGAUCCCUAUUAAUUUUGAAACUUAGAAACUUUAUCUCUCAACAAAAAUUCAAAAUAUUAAUAAAAAUUCCAAAAUUUAUAUUUAAAAAAAACUAUAAUAUUUUUUUAUUAUUUUUCUUUAAAGAAAAUCAAAUAUAUAUAGUUUGAAAUUUUUGUGCUCUAACAUGAAAUUAAUUAUAUUAUAACUAGAUUUUAAUUUGACAUGUUUAAUUUUUUAAAUUUAAAUCAAACAAUUUCACACGAUAAUGUUUUUUAUAUAGUCUAUAAUUUUGAGUAUAAACACAGGUCAAAUUAAUACAAAUACAUAAGAGCUCAAAAAUAACACUAAAAACAAACAAUUGUUGGAUUUAUUAGUAGAGAAUUGGAUUUUUAAUUCUAAUGAUUAAAUAUCAAACUCAAACAACUUCAAAUAUAUAUACAUAAAGGAUGUUAUGAAAAAUAAAAUUAACAAAUGAAAAAACAUAAGGAACAUUUCAGUAGCAACUUUUUACAUAGACAUCAAAUAAAGAAACACUCUUAAUUUUACUUUUGUUUGUCUCUCUUCUUCUUUUUUUACCUUUCUUGUAUGAAACUAAAUGCAAGAAAAGUAAAGAUUAGAAUCCAAAUACGAAUUUCAAACCUGUAGGGCUGAGUAUCUAGAUUCGAGACUAUAUUUAGUUCAGGAGAUGUAUAAUCAGGGAGUCUGCCACUGAGAACUUUUUCCCAUAUCUUUGGUUUUGUGAAGGAGGAAUAUUGUGCCUGAUAAAAUUAUAAUAAAUCCACAUAAUUCUGUUGUAAUCUCUGUCCCGCCUUAUGAAUAGGAUUGUAUAUAAAUCAAGUUUAAUCCGUCAGUUUAUUUUUUUUGGCCUAUUAGUGUUCACGUUUAUGCAUAUAAACUAAAUAAAUAUGUCUACGAUGUUCAUGAAAAUAGUCAAACAUUUCCAUAAGAAAGUUAGUCAAACUCAAAAAUAAAAAUAAAAUUUGUUGAUUUACACUCCCUACCUAUAUAAGUGGAGUAAGGAUGUAUAUAGAUAAAAACCUUACCUUAAACAUGAUAAUGCUGGCAAUAAUGGUGAACGUUGUGAACAUGACAUAGUAAACAGGACAUACAACAGUAGUAUUAAAAGUGUCUAAAGCAUGCAAAAUUGUAAGCUUUUAGUAGCAUCAAGAAUAAUAACAAUAACUUAAAUUUAGAGUCAAUCAUCAUAUUAAAUCAAGAAUACAAGGUUGAAAGAAAUUAUUUAAAAAAAAACACGUUUAUGCUUUUUUAUUCUAUAAGCAAUUUAAUAAUAAGCAAAUUGAUCUCUCAACAAAAAUUACAAAAUAAUUUUUAAAAUUCAAAAUAUUUAUAAAAAUUUCAAAUUUCAAAUUUCACUUCACUCAACUCAAUUCGAAAAAAUGUCAAAUCGAGUUAGGAUGAUAAAUAUGACUCAUCAGUUCAAUUAACUCAAAAAAUUUUCACUUGAUUUGAUCAAACACUCAUAAAAAUCAUCAAAAAUAAAUGAGACAGAGAUAAUUUGUUAAAGUAUAAGAUGAAAUGUGUUUUAGAAUUAACAUUUUUUUUCUUUGGCAUGCAAGCUAAUGUUCAAGUCUUUUUACCCAUUAAUAAAUCCUAAUUUAUUAAGUAGUAUCCAACUUAUAAAUAUGUUAUGAUCUAUCAACGGGUUUAAUUAAAUCCAACACCCCAAAUUAUGGGCUCAACUCUAAAUUCAAGAUUUGACAUUGCAUGCAAAUGUCUAAGUCUUUGCCCGAUCCUUGCUAUAUGAAAACAAUGGUUUACCCCUUUGUUUAAGUCAAGUCAUUAUAAGCACAAAAUAAAGCAUUUGUUUUAGCUGGUUGAGAUGGAUUGACGGGAAUAUGGAGUGGAAAUUAUGAUGACGACACAAUUUCUGCGAAACAGAUUAGUACAAAAUAAAUGCGAGGUUGUACUAAAACCCAACAUGUGUUUGCCCGAUCAAUACUGCAUGAGAUGGAUUGAUGGGCACCACUUAUGACUUAUGGGUGGAAAUUUUGAUGAUAAAAAGUGUGGGGUUCUUCUGAAAUUUACUUUGGGUUGAUUGAAAUUGAUGAUCACAGAUUAGUUGAAAUGUCUUACAAUAUUAGCCACUUUUCAAUCCUUUACACUUUCAAAGUUUGUCCAACCAAUUGAAAUGCAACAAGCAUAUAGUUUUUUAAGUCCAAAAUUAGAUUCUUUUUAUUGGUUUACAUAAUUAAUUUUCAUUUUCUCUUCAAUUAUUUAAAUCUAUUAUCUUUCUUUUAUUUUUUCAUGAACAAAGAUAAAAUCAUAAUUGGAUUAAGUCGGGUCAGGUCAUUCUAGAGCAAUAAUCAUAUAAUUUUUGAAGAAUUUUAUCCAAUGGUUGCAUAUAGCUAUACACGCCUAGAUGCCUUGAAAAUAUCAUUGCUUCCGGUCCAUCGACUACUCAGUUACCCUAUUUGAAUACAUGUGUCACCCUAAUCAUCCAAAGACAUUGAAUAAUUUCUUUAAUAAUUCGUAACACAGCUAAAUGGUGGAACUCAACUGAUCAUCUUGAAUCAAUUAGAUUGUAGUCAUAUUAUUCAUCUCAAGGACAAUCCAUUGAAAACCUAAUCUCUAAGUCAUUUGAAAUCCCUCCAAAGCUCCGCAAAGCUCGACAUUGAGUGUAUAACAACAUAAUGUAUUUAGAGACAAAGCUCAUAGAUUUAUUUUCUAAUUAGGAAAUUAUAUGUUUUUAGUGUAGGACUAAUAAAGAAACGAUAGUAUGCAUGGGUUUUUAUCAAAUGGAGUCUUUGACUUAGUCUUGGCAUGCAUACUUGCAAAUGACUCCUAUUGCCCAGUCAUUACUUAAUUAUGUUCUACUAAUUUCCAGGCCGGUUCUUAAUAUUUUUGGGCUUCAGGCAAACAAUAAAUUAGACUUUUUUUAAAAAAAAUUAUAUAAAAUGUAAUGCAAUAACAGCUGAACAUAUUUUGCGGCUUAGGUGAUGAAAUAUUUAUGGUGAAAAAUUAAAAAUCUUAUGCAUCUAAUUAAUUUAUUUUAGUCUGAAAUUUUUUUUCUUAUAUUAAAAACUGAAAAAAAUAAAUUUUUAAGCCCCUUCCACGAUUAUACUCUCAAAUAACCCGAUUGCCGGGGUUGCUAGUUUCCUUAAAAACCACAGAAAUAUAUUAAUCAAGUGAUAGAGACGCAGUGCAAUUUCAACACAAUUUGAAAAAGAUUGAACUUUUAAACUUUCUUGGUUUAAUUGAAAUCACUAAACUAAAUGAAAAAUGAAUUAGUGGAGAUGCCUUGGACGCUUUCUAAUUUCUUUCAAAAAAACUACUUCAAAAAUAUAUCUAUUUUUUCAAACUAAAUAAGAUUAAAGAGUUUGCUGACUGGCAACGGCGCCGUCGUUCACGUUGGCCCGGAAAAAUUAAAAAUUUUCCUUUUUUCUUUCCUCUCUCUAUUGGCCUCCCGAGCUUAGAUCUACCGAUCACCGUCCAAAAAAGUAAGAAAGUUUUGAUUUUUUUUCUUUUUUUUUUGUUUCUUAUAUAUAUAUAUAUAUAUUCAAAAUAAAUAAAUAAUGCCUACCGGCUAAAUUUGAAACAAGAAUUCUGAUGGGAGUCACCUACAUCUUCUUCUAUUUCUUUUCCCACACUUUUUGAACUUAUCAACCCAUUUGUUUCCCAACUCAUUCAGCAUUCUAUAUCCAGCUCAUUUAUUUUCCCUCAAACUUUUAUUCCCCUAAACUUUUUAUUUUUCCCCUAAACUUUUACUUCUCAUCCUUUACUCCCAAAUAAAAAAAUCAAAAUUAUCCAAAAAACCCCUUAAACAUAAAUAGUAAUACUUUUAUUUAUAUCUACUAUUUAUAUUAUUAAAUUAAAUUUCACAUUUUAUAUUAUUUAUAUUAUUGAAUUGUUUAGUCAUAUUGAAUAUUUAUAUUAAAUUUGAAUUAUUAAUGAUGCCAUAAAAUAUUCAUGUUAAAAUUUUAUAUUGGUAUCAAUUUCACAUUUUAUCUUUAAAAUAACUUUUAUUAAAAAAAAGCACAUUUUUACAUUUAAUAUUUUUUUAAUUCCAAAAUACAUAGUGACAAGAAUCUGAAGAUAAUUGAAACAACUAAGCAAGCAAAGAAGCUAACACAUAUAUAAAAGAUUAAAAUAUAAAUUAUGAGGUGAUGAAAGUUAAUAACAAAUUUGAUUAUGGUAGACAAAUUUUAUUACGGUGGGUGACAGUGGUUACAACUACUCAAAAUUAUUUUUAAAAAUUUGACUUGAAUGAAUUCCAUCACAUUUGACUUGAUUCCAGAAAAUUUCAAAUUAAAUUAAGAUGAUAAAAUAUGAUUCAUCAACUUGAUUAACUCGAAAUUUUUCCAUUCCAUUCGAUUCGAUUUCAUUCGAUCGAACACUCACCCCUAACUGCAUGAAAGUAAUGUUCAACCACUUUGUUUAAUUCAAGUCAUUAAAAUAUCAAGUAGUGGAAAUUUCUAAGUCUUUGAUAUGAAUGCAAAAUUCUAAGUCUUUAUAACUGCAUGCCAAUAAUAAUGAUGAUGAUGAUGUACCAAUUUGAUUAAGGAAGGUCAUUAAAAAAAAGAAAUAAUGGUAAUUUUUUAAUAAAAUAAUUUAUUAUUGAAUUUUUUAAGUAAAAUUUGGUAUAAGACCCAAAAAUGGUAUAAAAUUAUUCAUUGAACAUAUAUAAACAUUAUCGUUGAUAAAAAAAAUUUUAAUACUUUAUACUUAUAAAAAAAUGAUAACAUGAGAUAUUAUUGCCUUUAAUCUUAGUCGUUGGCAUUGCAUGCAGAUGCAAAUGUUAAAAGUCUUUUUGCCAUAUCAUUAAUGCAUGAAAACCUAUGUUGAACCACUUUGUUGAACUCUUAAUAUUCUUCUUAUUAAUGCCAGGUUUCAAUCUUCUUGUCGGCUCUUUAUUCUAUAUAAAUGAUUUUCUAAUUUUAAUUUUCUUAAAUUUUAAUCAUUAAAAAAAUAAAAUUAUAGCAAUAAUAAUGUCCUUUAAACCUUAUUAGAGCCAUGAUUACACGUAGAAUGAACAAAGAUAUUUUUGUUCUAACUUCACUUGAAAUAAUGGUUGAAGUUGUUGCCUACCCUAAUCAGCACCAAAAACAUGUCAUCUACCUAAUCAGUCACACCUUCUCCUAUACGCACAUUAAAACCAAUAUUAUUGAUUGUAAAGCAUUCCGUUGUCAAGAUUUAUGACCAUAGACCUAACCAUAAUACUCAAUAAAUUCGCCAACACCACCAUGACCAUGUUUCCUCAACAUUGGUGUUAGAGUCAAAACCAGAUUGGUUUCUGUUACACCGUCUCGAAAUUUCCCAGACAACAUGGACCAUAGGCUGCUGAAUUUUGAAAAUUGAAAUUUUGUAUUGAAUUUCACUUCUAAGUUUUGGUUUUACAAAAGUUUAGGAUAAUGUCAAUAAUUUUGCAUGCUUCGACCGCUACCGCCCACAAUCAGUGCUCCAUGGAUUAUAACAGGCUUUGCAUGCUUCAACCAUUACUACCUUUCUAGCCACAAUGAGAAGGCCAGCAUAUAUAAAAUUCAGCUCAAUUGAUGGCCUUUGGUCGAAAAUAGUUUAUGAUCAUACCAAUUAAAACGCAAUCAUAGGACAUAUAGUCUAUUAAAUCUAAAAUAUGGAUUUUUUUCCCUUUCUUUUUUCUUCAUGUGCUAAUUUUUAUUUCUUGUAAAUAUUUUAAAUAAGUAUUAAUUUCUAUAAAUUCGUUUAAAUGUUUCGUGAAUCAUUUGAAUAAACUACUAUAUUUAUAGUAAAAAUGAGGUUGCAAUUGCAAGAGAGGAGAUAUGUGAUCAUCAAAGCGUUGGCUUGGGAGAUGAGAUUGAGAAAGAGAGGAUGAGAAGAGAAAGAAGAAAGGAAGAAAAAGUGAAACAAGGGAAUGAAGAGUCUUCAUGUUGGUCAAACCUGGUCCAAGACCAUCCAGAAUGCCCCAUAGUUUUGAAUUAUGAGUUUUAUUGGUCUUGUUAAUCAUAUUAAUUUCAAUAUAUUCAUAGACUUAGUCUUAGCCUGUGGCAUUGCAUGCAAAUGCCUAAAUCUUUUUGCAUGAAAACAAUGUUUACCAAACCAAUUCCAAUUCUUUGAAAAAAUUAAUUCCAAUUCCAAAAGGUUUUUUUUAUUUUUUUAUUUCAAAAUUUACCAAACCAAUUGAAACCCAAUGAGAUUAAAGAAUAUAUAAUUAUUUAAAUCUAAAAUAUGAUUUUUUUAUUCGUACAAAACACGGCUAAUUUUAAAUUUUUGUGGUCUCCACAAAUGGCCAGCUACCUGCACAAGGACACUGGCAAAUAACCGCCUGCAGCAGUACAUUCCUCAGCACCAUUCCGCACAGCCAAGGCACCGCAGCUCUAUGAGGAGCACAUACUCCUCUCCAAGCUCCUGGAUCCAAUAAAAAUACAAAAGGAGGUUAGCACCGCCGCCGCCAGAUUUGCCCAUAUGUUAAGAGAAUUCAUCAAUGAAAUUCAUAAGCCCAAUAACAAGGGUGAUUCCAUUACCAUUUUUUUGUUAUUAGUAUUUUUCUUAGUAUUGUAGCAUACCAAUUCUUCCCUGCAUCUGGGAAACUAGUUUAAUCCUCUGUUUCAUUGGAUAAAUUUCCCUACAAAGUAUGUGUACAUUGUAAUGAUAAUGUGACACGUUGUUGGCCUUUACUAGACUGUAAGACAUAAUUUCUUUCAUUAUAUUUUAAUUAUUAUUAUCAUAUUACAUACAAAGUUUAAUUGUAGGGUAUUUUUUUAAAGUAAUAAAACUAUCAUUGAAAGAAUAAAUUGACUAAUCCCAAUACCAAUUUAGAAUAGGAUUAUUGUAUUUAAAGCAGAAGUUCACAGUUGAGUAAACUAAAUCCUAAGAUGAUAAGAUCCAACCAUCCGCGUAUGAUAUAAACUACAUGUAAGAGAACGUCGAGUGCAACAUAUCAGUUUUGGGAUUAACCUUUUCACCAUAUGCUUCUCCUUUUCUCAACUUUAUGCUGCCAAUCUGUGCUUUCUUCUCAGAUUGUUGGCCUGAAAAUUAGAAUAUGAAGCUUCUCAUUUCACUUGCAAUUAUCAUGUUUUUCAUAUGCAUAACAUGGCUAAUUUUUAUUUCUUGUAAAUAAAUAUUUCAUUUCCGUAAAUUCGUUUAAAUGUUUCAUAAUGGGAGAAUCAUUUGAAAAAGCUACCAUAUUUAUAGUGUUUUACAUUGUUUGUCAAUUCCAGAAAACGGACCAUAUUUUAAGAUAUCUAAUUUUUCAUUAUAUUUUACUUACUUAUUUUUAAAGUAAUAAAACUAUUAUUAAAAAAUAAAUAAAUUAUUUGUACAAAAUAAAUGUCAGAUUGCACUAAAACCCGGACCAAUAGAUUUACCCAUUACACCCGAGCCUAAAGCCCAACAUGUGUUUGAUAAUAUAAAACAAAGAAGACAAAACUUAUCAUACUUUGCGUGGUUUUCUACUUGAAAUGAUUCAUUGCCACCAAUUACAUGCAAUGACUUAAUGCUUAGAAGGACAGAGGUCAUUUCCCUGUGACAAAAUAAGAAACACAAGUCAAACCACCAAGAAUAUAACUUCUCAUAAGCAUGCAAAUAUAGGAAUAUUACAUAGGAAAAACAAAAUCACUGUGUCACCACUCCUGCUGCUUAAAUUAAGGAAUUGCAAUGUUGUAUGAUCCAAAAUUAGUUUGUAACAUCAAUCUUUUCAAAAUAUAAAGACUAUAGCUUCAAAAGGAUAUGUUUACCUGUUGACUUUAAUACAUGAAUUCCGACACAGUCACCAAGAUUUUCUUCUGUUUCUUUUCCCAUAUUUUUUGAACUUGUCAACCCAUUUGUUUCCCAACUCAUUCUGUUGUUCCAAUAGGGUCGGAAGCGUGUAAAUUAUUGUACUAAAAAAUCACACAAAGUUCAAUUCCCAGGGAAGAGAGGUGGAUCACAUGGAUCUCUUAAAUACCAAGUCUUUCCUUAGUCAGAAUAUCCCUUCUAUAGUAAUUUAAUAGCACAAUUAAAUACUACUAUUAUACCCUAAAAUAUUGAAAGAAAAAUAGGACAAGAAAGAACACAAGAGUUUUAACGAGGUUCGGUAAAUUAUACCUACGUCCUCGGGCACUAACACUAGAUGAUAACUUUACUAUCUCCAAAAUAUUACAAACAAAUAGAAUUCCUUAAGAAUUCUCAAAUGGGAGAAGAGAGAAAACUAAGAGAGAAAGAUUGGUUGGGAUGGUUGAAAUGAGAAAUGGUUAGGCCUAUUUGAGGUUCAGGGACUAACUUGCAAAUGGCCUAAAAAAUUAGGGACCAAAAUUGCAAUUAUCCCAUUCAACUUUAAACAACUUGCCUAUCACUUUUUUCUUUCGGUGCCACUUGCACCUCCCAUUUUUGACUUUUCAACAAUCUCCACCUUGAAGAUUUGAUUAGGAUAAUCACAUCUUCACACACUUCCUUCAACUCCCCAAAUUAGAUAAAGCUAUCUUUUGUAGCGCCUCCAAAUGCGCUCUCGAGCGCCAUACACCUAAAGGUGCUCAAAUUCUCAGGAUGUUAAUCAAGUUCAAACAAUGAUUAAACUUGAUUGUUGUUACCACCUUGGUCAUCAUAUCUGCGGGAUUAUCUGCUGUCGGAAUCUUCUGAAGUAGAAUUUUUCCUUUUUCAAAGACUUCCCGCACAAAGUGAUAUCUUACGUCGAUAUGCUUGGUUCUUGAAUGAUAGACUUGAUUUUUCGCUAAAUGAAUAGCGCUCUGACUGUCACAAUAUAAACUUAUGUGACUUUGAACAACUCCUAAGUCUUUCAACAAUCCAUUAAGCCAAAUAGCCUCCUUAACAGCUUCUGUAACUGCCAUAUAUUCUGCCUCUGUAGUAGACACAGCUACUGUAGACUGUAAGGUAGACUUCCAACUCACUGGGGCUUUCGCAAGAGUAAACAGAUACCCCAUAGUUGAACGACGUUUAUCUAAAUCACCAGCAAAGUCGGAAUCAACAUAUCCAACUACAAACUGACCAAGUGCUUCAUCCUGUUCAAAAAUUAAACCAACAUCUACGGUUUUUCGAAGAUACCGUAGAAUCCAUUUCACAGCUUGCCAAUGUCCUUUUCCAGGAUCAUGCAUAUACCUGCUCACAACUCCAACAGCUUGUGAAAUGUCAGGCCUCGUACACACCAUCGCAUACAUCAAACUCCCAACUGCAUUAGCAUAUGGGACUUUCGCCAUAUAUUCUCUUUCAUCUUCAGUCUUCGGAGAUAAUUGAGCACUAAGUUUCAAAUGAGAAGCAAGUGGGGUACUUACAUGUUUUGUGUUUUCAUUUACACCAAAACAUUGUAAUACCUUUUUCAGAUAUUGCUUCUGAUUUAAACAGAGCUUGCCUCUCGGUCUAUCUCUACUUAUCUCCAUACCGAGAAUCUUCUUGGCCUCACCUAGAUCUUUCAUCUCGAACUCUUGAUUCAACUGAGCCUUCAGCUUAUCUAUCUCAUUUUGGCUCUUCGAAGCGAUUAACAUAUCAUCAACAUACAAGAGUAGAUAAAUGAAAGAUCCGUCAUGCAGCUUCUGCAAAUAUACACAAUUGUCAUAUUUGCUUCUUGUGUACUUCUGCCUUCUCAUAAAGCUAUCAAAUCACUUGUACCACUGCCUCGGGGAUUGCUUCAAUCCAUAUAGCGAUUUGUUCAGCUUACAAACCCAAUUUCUACCACCAGCAUCUGUGUAUCCUUCGGGCUGAGUCAUAUAGAUCUCCUCUUCUAACUCACCAUGCAAGAAAGCCGUCUUAACAUCAAGUUGAGCUAGCUCCAAAUUCAACUGUGCUACCAAGGCCAACAAAAUUCUAAUGGAGGAAUGCUUCACAACAGGGGAAAAUACAUCAUUGUAGUCAAUUCCCUCCUUCUGAGCGUAGCCUUUAGCUACCAAUCUUGCCUUGUAGCGAAUAUCCUUCUUGCUAGGAGAUCCAUCUUUCUUUGCGAAUACCCACUUGCAUCCGAUUGCCCUUUUACCUUUCGGUAAUUGCGCCAGCUCCCAAGUAUUGUUCUUCCGGAGAGACUGCAUUUCUUCAUCCAUGGUGCUUUUCCAUUUAUCACUUUCUAAGCUUUGCAUUGCUUCUUAAUAAGUGAUAGGAAUAUCAUCAACAACGGGAAGGGCGUAGGCCACCAUAUCAGUAAAUCGAGCAGGUUUACGAAUUUCUCUCCGUGGCCUUGCAACUACAACUGGUUCUGGUGUACUUAGUGGUUCUUGGGUCAGAACCUCUUCAACCUCUAAUUCCUCCAUUAUGGCUGGAGAAUUAGACUUAUUAACUGGGCAAAUCCCCAUCUGCUCAAACUCCACCUGUUUUGGAGUACACUCCACCUGCUGUGGAGUAUUUCUCGUCUGAAUAUCUUUAUCUGCUACUUUUUUCAAUGUGGCAGAUUCAUCAAAGGUAACAUCUCUGCUACAGAUCAUUUUUUUUGUGCUUAAGCACCAAAGACGAAAUCCCUUCACUCCAGAAGUGAUUCCCAUAAAGAGAGCUUUCUUUGCCCUCGGAUCUAACUUUGACUCCUUCACAUAGUAAUAUGCAGUGGAUCUAAACACAUGUAAGGAAUCAUAAUCUGUAGCCGGUUUUCCAGACCAUACCUCCAUAGGAGUUUUUCUUUCUAAUGCAGAUGAUGGCAAACGAUUAACAAGAUGGCCAGCGUAUGUCACAGCCUCAGCCCAAAAUUGCUUGCCCAACCCAGCAUUGGACAACAUACAUCGAACUUUUUCCAGCAAUGUUCGAUUCAUACGCUCUGCCACUCCAUUCUGCUGUGGUGUAUCCCUAACUGUAAAGUGUCGAACAAUACCAUACUCUUGGCACACAUCGAAAAACGGAUCACUUCUAUAUUCCCCUCCAUUGUCUGUCCUAAGCCGCUUGAUUUUCUUGCCAAUCUGGUUUUCGAUCAUAGUUUUCCAUUUAAGAAAAACUCCAAGCACUUCAUCCUUAGUUUUCAUGGUAUACACCCAAACUCUUCUGGAAAAGGCAUCAACAAAAGUAACAAAGUAGUGUUUUCCUCCCAACGAAGGUGUUUUAGAAGGCCCCCACACAUCUGAGUGAACAUAUUCCAAAAUACCUUUUGUAUUAUGGAUCGCAGUGCCGAAUUUCACUCUCUUUUGCUUUCCCAGAACACAAUGCUCGCAAAAUUUUAAUUUGUAAGCCUUUGCACCUUUCAACAAUCCUUGCUUUGCCAGAAUUUGCAAGGAUUUUUCACUGGCAUGUCCCAACUUCAUAUGCCACAAUUGCAUUGAGUCCAAUUCUUUGUUACCGAAAGCUACAGCGACUGCUCCAAUAACUGUACUACCUUGGUAGUAAUACAAGUUAUUUUUCCUGAUGCCCUUCAAUAUCACAAGUGCGCCAGAUGUCACUUUCAAAAUCCCAUCUCUCAUAGUAACAACUGAACCAUUGGAUUCCAAGGCUCCCAAUGAGAUGAGAUUUUUCUUCAAACUGGGCACGUACCGAACAUCAGUCAGAACUCUGGUUAAUCCAUCUUGAUUCUUUAAUUGGAUUGAACCUAUCCCAAUAGUUUUACAGGUAUUGUCAUUGCCCAUAUAAACAACUCCUCCAUUUAGUUCUACUAAAUCAGAGAACCACUCCCGGUUAGGGGACAUAUGAAAGGUACAACCCGAAUCCAAUAUCCACUCAUCUGAAUGGAACGACGAUGAUGAUGCAACCAGUGAUAGUUCAGAGUCACUAGUAUCAUGCUUAGCAACACAAGCAUCUACAGCAGCUUUUCCCUUAUUCUUCAGCUUUGGACAAUUUUUCUUCCAGUGGCCUUUCUCAUGACAAAAGGCACAUUCAUCUUUCCCGAGUCUGGACUUUGACUUUGAUCUCUCCUUUUGAGUUUUCUUCCGAGUGUAUGAACGACCUCGGACUACUAAAGCUUCUGUAUCUCUGAUUGAGUUUUUCUUUUUGUCCUUCUUUCUCUGUUCAUAACUGUAUAAGGCCGCACAGACUUCGCUCAGAGAUAUAUCACUCCUGCCAUGAAGUAGAGUAGUUUCUAGGAACUCAAACUCCUCAGGAAGUGACCCCAACAGCAUCAAAGCCAAAUCUUCAUCUUUGAAUGUCUCAUCCAUAUUUAGCAAAUCAGUGACUAACUGAUUAAAUUUGGUGAUGUGAUCAUUCAUUGUGGUACUUGGGACAUAAGUGAAGCGAAACAGUCUUUUCUUCAAGUGGAGCUUAUUUUGACUGUUUUUCUUCAAAAAAUUUUCUUCAAGUGCCACCCACAACUUAUUUGCAGAAGUCUCCUUUGAAAAAGCAUACCUCUGCUCUCGAGAAAGGCAUGAUCGAAUUGUGCCACAUGCCAACCGAUUGAUCGCCUUCCAAUCUUUCUCCUGUACAUCAUCUGGUUUCUCUUCAUCAAUGGCAAUGUCUAGACCCUGCUGAAAAAGGGCAUCUAGAACCUCACUUUGCCACAUACCAAAAUGGCCCGUGCCAUCAAAGAUCUCCACGGCCAAUCUUGCAUUUGCAAUUGUCGGUCUUGUCCACAUGGACGAUGUUGAAGCUCCUACACCGACCGUUUUCUCCAUAAUCUUUCAAUAUACCUAAGGAAAUCUUUUCUGAUGUGGAAGAUCAGUUUAAACUGCAACCACAGAGCAUACUACGAUUAACCUUCGGCUCUUGAUACCACUUGUUGUUCCAAUAGGGUCGGAAGCGUGUAAAUUAUUGUACUAAAAAAUCACACAAAGUUCAAUUCCCAGGGAAGAGAGGUGGAUCACAUGGAUCUCUUAAAUACCAAGUCUUUCCUUAGUCAGAAUAUCCCUUCUAUAGUAAUUUAAUAGCACAAUUAAAUACUACUAUUAUACCCUCAAAUAUUGAAAAAAAAAUAGGACAAGAAAGAACACAAGAGUUUUAACGAGGUUCGGUAAAUUAUACCUACGUCCUCGGGCACUAACACUAGAUGAUAACUUUACUAUCUCCAAAAUAUUACAAACAAAUAGAAUUCCUUAUGAAUUCUCAAAUGGGAGAAGAGAGAAAACUAAGAGAGAAAGAUUGGUUAGGAUGGUUGAAAUGAGAAAUGGUUAGGCCUAUUUGAAGUUCAGGGACUAACUUGCAAAUGGCCUAAAAAAUUAGAGACCAAAAUUGUAAUUAUCCCAUUCAACUUUAAACAACUUGCCUAUCACUUUUUUCUUUCGGUGCCACUUGCACCUCCCAUUUUUGACUUUUCAACACAUUCAACACUGUAUAUCCGAUACAUAGCCCAGCGACCAAACCACUACCAUAACCUAUCAAAACAAUUUUCCAAGUUGACAUAGCAUAUAACCAUGACUGUUCCUAUUCCCCUGGAGGCGGUGGCACUGGAAGACCGUCUUCAUUGCAUUUCUUGGACAAUGGUUGACCGCAUAAUUUUGGAUUCCCACGAUAAGAAUCAUUUGAAAAUGUACUGAAUUGGUUGCCUUGCGGUAUGCUCCCUUCAAGUGGGUUGUAAGACAAGUUCAGUGCCUCUAGGAAAGUUAGAGUUGUAAGCUGUGGAGGAAUCUUCCCUGAUAGCUCAUUCUGUGAGAGAUCCAAAGACUCCAGAUCUUUUAGGUUUUGAACUGCUACUGGGAUUUCACCGGAGAAGCUAUUAUAGGACAAGUUUAGCACUUUGAGCGACUUCAGCAAUUGUAUUUCUUCUGGUAUUCUCCCAUGGAAAUUAUUGUUGGAAAGGUCAAGACAAGUAAGAGUGGUUAAGAUUUUAUCGUAAAACAGCUCAAUCCCUUUGUUGGAAAUUGUCACUAAAUCUUGAUAAUAAUUCUCUCCAAUGUAAUCCAGCUUAGCUUUGUCGUCAUUUGUUAACUGCAUCAUUACCUUCAAGCUUUGCAAAAAUUCAAUGGACAAGUCGCCUGAAAAUUUGUUGGAAGCAAUGUCCAAUAUACGUAGCUUUGGAAACCCACGUUCUGUGUUGAAUUUUGUAAUUGUACAGUAGAAUCUGUUUGCUCGUAAAAUGACAACCUUCAAGGAAUGCAGCUUCUCUAACCAAAAUGGGAAUGUAUCAUGAACCAUAUUAUUUUCAAGGUCCAAAACCUCAAGUGCUGUGCAAUUGGCUAAUGAUCUCGACAACUUCCCUUCUAAUUUAUUCCCACCUAUUUUGAGUGACCUUAGUCGAGUGGCUUGAAGGAAAUCAAUAGAUAGUUCACCAGAAAACUGGUUUGAAGCAAUGUCCAACACAUUCAAAGUUGGGAAAACAAAUCUAUGUUUAAUUUGACCAUAAAAUCUGUUUUCCCGCAAUAUUAGAACCGUCAAGUAAGGCAAUUUCUCCAACCAAAAAGGGAAUGUAUUAUUCAUCUUGUUGUUUUCCACGUCCAAAACUUAAAGCUGAGUGCCUUCAGCUAAUGAUCUGGGCAACUUCCCUUCCAAUCUAUUCUCACUAACUUUGAGAAUAUAUAAGUGGGUUGCUUUUGAAAAUUUUGGUAACAUUCCACUAAAGUUAUUUCCUUGCAGAUCCAACCAAUAGAGAUCAUUCAUUUUGCCUAAGCAAUUUGGAAUCGCGCCGCUCAAAUUGUUAUGAGAUGCAUUGAAAUGUCUAAGUUGACUCAAAUUGCAAAUAGGUCCAGUCAAGGAGGUUUGUGAAGAAGUUGAACUCUGAUUGGGUAGAAGUUGGUCCAAAGACGAGAGAUGGUUAUUUGCAAGAAACAGAUGCCGCAAACUUUUCUUCCACACCCAUUUUGGUAUUGCACCACUUAUUUUAUUAUUUGAAAGGUCGAGAAAUACUAAAUUUUCUAGACUCUUUAAGAACUCUAGAAACGCACUUAUGUUACAGGGUCUCAAAUCCAAAUCUCUCAACAUUGGAAAUGAGAAGUUUGCAUCAUUUAAGGGAAGCUGUUUUGGAAAAUCAAUCAUAUUGAAAGAAAGCUCUAACCUUGAAAGACUGCUCUUCCACAACCAAUUAGGCACAACACCACGGAUAUGAUUGUUAGAAAGAUCUAAGUCAACCAACUUGUCUUGCCUUUUAAUGAAUUUUGGAAAUUCAGUAAGGUUGCAUGACCUUAGCAUUAGGCUCUCUAAUUGGGGAAAAGUAAGACUUCUGUUGUCGCUUUCAAUUAACAAGCUUACGUUGGAUAAGUGGAGACCCUUUAAGUUCUUAAGUUGGACAAACAUGUCUAGCUUCAUGGAACUGAAGCUAUUGCCUCCGAUAUAAAGUCGUUCAAGACUUGGAAGUUGAAGAAUUGACUUGGGGAUUAGUCCUGUUAAAUAAUUAUUGCCAAUAUAUAAUCUCUCAAUCGAAGAAGAAGAUGCAUUGGGGAACUCAUCAGUUUUCCCAACCAAUUGAUUUUCUCCAAGAUACAAGGUCUUUAAUAAUGGAAGAGUGAAUAAAGAAGAAUGUAUUGAUCCAGAAAGCAUGUUCCCUCCCAGAUGUAGGUUGACCAGGUGACUAAGAUUUGCAAUUGACGAUGGAAUGGGUCCAAAAAAAUUACAAUCAUCAAGAUCUAAAUAUGUCAAGAACUUGAGAUUACUAAUUGAUUGGGGUAGUUUUCCACUGAAAUUUGUAUAAAAAAGCGACAAACUCUGUAAAGCAUUGUUUGCUGGAAAUUCUGGCAACUGACCAUUAAGAAAGUCAUUAUCUGAAAUGUCAAUGCUUUGCAUUUUUGGCGAUAAGAGAUUUUCAGUUGGAAAAUGGCCACUCAAAUUGCAGUUCCUCAAACUGAGAGAAACCAAACGAGAGGAAAUUUCCAAGAAAUUGGGAGGUAAAUAAGAGAUUGGGUUCCCAUCAAGGAUAAGUUUGGAAAGAAACGAGAGUCUUGAGAGUGAAGAACAUAAUGGACCUUUCAAACCACAGCUUGACAGACUCAACACAUGCAGGUUUGGAAGUACAAGAGAUGUGGUUUCACACCAUUUAGUACUUUGAGUUGAAAUGUCGACACCAUCCAAAUAAAGCUCCGUGAGAAACUUCAAAUUCUUGAUAAAUGUCUUGAAGUUUGGUUUCUCCAAUUUUAAAGUAGCUGAAUUAUAAUCGUAACCAUUUCUCCAAUAGCAAUCAUCUUGAUAAGAUAGGUUCAGAGAGACUAACCUUGUUAAGAAUGAGAUCUUCAUUGGAAUUUGGCCAUGGAAACAUGAGCUUGAAAGGUUGAGAUGAGUUAGAUUUUGGAGUUUAUCAAACCCAUAGGAAAACAGAGUGGUAUUAAAGUUGUUUCCAGCAAGAUUCAGGUGUUGAAGAUGAUGGAGAUCGAAUAUGGAGUUGAAGCCGCCUGAAAGGUUUUUGUAACUAAGAUCAGUGCCAACAACAUGACCAUAAGCAUCACAAGUGACUCCUUCCCAAGAACAACAAUCAGUGUUGACAUCCCAGAGGUCGAAUUUGGAAGAGAAAGUAAAAUUAGGGGCAUAGUAAAGAUGAUGCUGCAAUUGCAGGAGAGGAGCUCUCUGGUCAUCAAGGCAUUGCUUAGGGAGAUGAGUUUGAGGAG